RNAcentral lists this long non-coding RNA (71991 nucleotides) under Theobroma cacao (cacao). RNAcentral describes it as "long non-coding RNA (TCAC_LNC005141)". Lineage: Eukaryota; Viridiplantae; Streptophyta; Magnoliopsida; Malvales; Malvaceae. The record is from RNAcentral.
CCAUGAUUAGGUAACGGGUUCCCAUCAACACUCGAACUGUCUUUUUUGGCAAAAUUUAAAAGCCCUGCCUUAAUGAGCGCUUGAACUUUAUGUUUUAAAGUAGUGCAAUUCUCGGUGGAGUGCCCUUGAAUUCCAAAAUGGUAAUCACAAUGUGCAUUCGGAUCAUACCAUUUCGGGAAAGGUGGUCGGAGUGGUUCUAAAGGGGUUCGAGCAAGGAGUCGAUUUUCUAUGAGUUGUGGCAACAAUGUAGUGUAAGGGACUGGAAUAGGACCAAAGUUUGAUCUUUCUAGGGUAGUUUUAGGUCCUCUUUGACCAUGGCCAGGAUUAUUGGUUGAAGCUACCGGUCUUGGUGGUGGAGUUUGUGGAAGAACAUUGGUUUGAAAUGUUGGUUGCGGGACAGGUUGGUACACAUAUGGGUUUUGUGUGAUGUUGCCUAUGUUUGGAUAGAAGGGUUGGUAUGGGGGGUACGGGUAAUAUGGGUUAAAGUUGUGGGCUUGUUGGCUAUCAUGAGCGACUGCUUGCACAUCCCCUUCUUUCUUCUUGGGCGUACUCCCUUUCUUUAAGCUGGCAACUUCAUGCCCUUCAAUUUUUCCACUUUUGAUAGCUCCUUCUAUUAUUUCUCCCGAUAAGACCAAAUCUGCAAAGUUUUUCGUGGCAUUGCCGAUCAAGCGCUCAUAGAAUGGAGCUCGGAGGGUAUUUAUGAACAAAACAGUCAUCUCCUUAUCAGUGAGAGGUGGCUGAACUUGCGCUGCUGUAUCUCUCCACCUUUGGGCAUAUUCCUUGAAGUUCUCGCUUUGCUUCUUUUCCAUAGUCUGCAAUGACAACCGAUCAGGGGCUAAUUCAGCCACAUGCUUGUAUUGAGCUAUGAAGGCUCUUGCUAAGUCUUUCCAAGUCUUAAUACGGUUUCGAUCUAGCUGUACGUACCACCGAGCAGCUGACCCAGUCAAGCGGUCUUGGAAAAAAUGGAUCAGUAACUUAUCAUCGUGAGACUGUGCAGCCAUCUUCCGACAAUACAUGGUAAUAUGUGCCAUGGGACAUUUUGUUCCGUCAUAUUUUUUAAAUUCCGGAACCUUGAACUUGGCAGGGAUCAAUACAUCCGGCCCUAAGCAUAGCUCAGUUGCGUCCAUGGUACUAAACCUAUCAACUCCUUCGAUAGCACGAAGACGCUCUUCCAAUAAGUCGUACUUCUUCUGGUCUUUUUCAUUUUCUCCUGUUUGCGACGCUCUUCCUGUUUGCGUGGUGGUUGGGGACAGGAUGGGGAAGGGAUGGCUGGGCGUACGCCCAGCCAUCCCCCUUUUUUUUAUUAAUUUUUUAAUAUUAAUUUUUUAUAUUUUAGUUUAUUUUAUUAUUUAUUAUAUAUAUAUAUAUUUUUUAUAGGUGUCUACACACUGCACAUCCAAUUACCAAGUACCUAUGCUAUAACAAACUAUCACCUGCACAUAGAACCUUUACUAUUUCAUUGUCAUCCAUUCAUGAGCCAAGCUCUUACCAUCAAGCUAUGAAUCAUUCUCAUUGGGAAGAAGCUAUGGCUGUUGAGUUGAAGGCCUUGGAAGACAAUGGUACAUGGAGCAUUGUUCCACUACCUCUUAAUUGUCAUGUUGUAGGUUGCAAAUGGAUAUACAAGGUGAAAGUAAAUGCUACAGGUGAAGUUGAGAGGUACAAAGCACGGUUGGUGGCUAAAGGCUUCAGUCAAAUUACAGGUUUUGAUUACCAAGAAACCUUUAGUCCUGUGGCUAAACAAACAACAGUAAGGGUUUUCUUUGCUCUAGCUGCUGCAAACAAUUGGCAUCUAUCUUAGCUUGAUAUUAACAAUGCCUUUCUGAAUAGGGACCUAGAAGAAGAAGUUUACAUGGAACUGCCACAAGGGUAUUCUGUUCAGGGGGAGUAUCAGACAAGUUCAAAGUUGGUUUGCAAGCUUCAUAAAUCCUUAUAUGGACUCAAAUAAGCAUCCAGACAGUGGAAUGCUAAACUCACUACCUCAAUUCUACAGUUAGGCUUCACACAAUCAACAUCAGAUUAUUCUUUAUUUACCAUGAAGGCAAACAAUGGGAACUUUGUGGCAAUUUUAGUCUAUGUUGAUGAUAUUCUGAUAGGGAGUACCUCAGCUCAGGCAGCAUCUAAUGUCAAAGGAUUUUUGAGUUCACAAUUCAAACUCAAAGAUCUUGGUAAAGUCAAGUUUUUCUUGGGACUUGAAAUUGCUCAAUCUCCAGAAGGCAUAUCCAUAUGCCAAAGAAAAUAUACUCUGGAUUUUUUGGAAGAGCAUGGUCUGCUAGGAACCAAACUUGUAAGUACUCCCAUUGACUACAAUCAUAAGUUAUGCAAGACCAAGGGGGAGCAAAAACUGCAUGAUGCUACCAAAUACAGACAACUAGUCCAAAAAUUAUUAUAUUUAACCUUUACCAGGCUUGACAUCUCCUAUGCAGUGCAAGUUUUAUCCCAGUUCAUGGAUAAACCUAGCAGUGAACAUUUCAUGGUAGUUUACAGAGUUAUGAAAUAUCUUAAAAGGGCACCAAGCCAAGGUAUCCUAAUGAAGUCAAAGUCUGAUAUGAGAAUUUCAGCUUAUUCAGACAGUGAUUGGGCAAGAUGUCCUGACUCUCGAAAAUCAAUCACAGGUUUUGGUAUUUUCAUUGGAGAUUCUCUCAUGAGUUGGAAGUCAAAUAAGCAAACCGUAGUGGCUAGAAAGUCAGCAAAAGCAGAAUACAGGUCUAUGGCUUUAACCUGUUGUGAAAUUAUUUAGUUGCAAUACCUUCUGGUAGACUUUGGAAUCAGUCACAAGGAAGUAGUAAACCUCUUCUUAGACAGUCAGUCUGCAAUACACAUUAGCAAGAACCCAGUCUUUCACGAGAGGACAAAACACAUUGAAAUGGAUUGUCACUUCCUUCGUGAAAAGGUCUUAGCUGGGAUAAUAAAGCCUAUGCACAUUUCAACUCAAUUACAGAUAGCAGACAUUUUUACCAAGGCCCUGCAGCCAAAGCAAUUUUACAAAUUAUUAGGCAAGAUGAGUGUUCAUGAUAUUCACUCCUCAUCUUGAGGGGGAGUAUUAGACACAGUUAGUUGAAUAAGGCUUGCAAGUUAGAUAAGUGUACAGAAGAUAGCAGGUCGGGGUUGAAGGAGAGAAGGCACAAGUAGACAGACAUACACACCAUUUCAAUAAAAGCCUUCUACAACUACAGCAAAGUGCACCGUUUUGUUAAUAGAGUUUUUUAGUUUUUAAAAGUUAGUUAAAAGAUUGAUUGUUAGUUAUAUUAGUAUUAGCUUUUCUCUGACUAACGGAGACUCUGUAUAUAAAUUCUACUGUAAAAAUACCUUUUUGGGGGUCAUGAGAAUUCUCUGACAUUCUCUCAUUCUCAUGCGCCGCCUCUUCGUCUCUCUCUCACUCAGUAUUCAUCAAUCUUCAAUACUUCGAACUCUCUUAACAAAUUUAGGACUUGUAUUUAAUAGGUCUUAUAACCACCAUUCAAAUCAACCUUCAACCUGUCCCAUGCUUCUUUGACAGACUCACAAUCCAUUGUAUGAGUAAACAUCGAGUCAGAAAUAACAGAAUGGAUACAGGAUAAAGCUUUAUACAUUUUCGUAAUUUUUUCGCUAUGCUGCUUUAACUGUGCGAUUGUUGGGUUUGAUUGUCUCAUCUCGAGAGAAUUUUCACCAACUUCAACGAUUUCCCAAAGAUCGAACGCACGAAGAUACGCCUUCAUUUUUACUGCCCAUAUUGGGUAGUUUUCUCCCUUAAAAAUGAGUGGAGCAGCGACAUUGAAAUUUACAAAGGUCAUUUUCUUGGUAUUUCAAAAAUAGAUAGUAAAGGGUAAGGAAGAAAAACUAAUGAGGAUUUUUUAAAGUGAUUUUACACCAACACAGUCUCUUAAGAUAAUUGCUCUGAUACCAUGUUAGAAUUUUUAAGUAUUCUUAAGAGAAAGCUCAAAAAACCAAAAGAGAGAACUAUCAAUAAAAGGAAGAAGAUAACAAUUACAUUAAAAUUUUUAGUAAUUUAAAUACAAGUAGUUAACAAAGGAAAAUAGAAAGCAAUAAAAUCGAAACCACUUAAGCACUAAAUGUGUUGUAGAUAGUUCCUUUACAUCAUGGUUAGUGGGUACACAACAUGUAGCAACUAAGAGAAAUAAAAGAAAAAACACUGAAAGCAAUUAUCAACCAAUAAGUUAGUGGCGUCAGGUGAAGGUUCGUGCCUCCUUCUAGCCCCAUGUUCUACAACUUCAGACCUCAAUUUCAACAAAGUGUUAUAGAUAAUAUGAGGAAGCAACAAUAAAUCUUGAACCAGACCAGCAUAGUCAUCUACCUCUGCGAACCAUUCAAGCAGAAUAUUGGUGCUACCUUUCACAUAAGAAUAUUUUCUAGGAAUGGGCAAUGCUUUGCCAAAACUUGUAAUAGAAAAAUGCUUGAGAAGAAAACCCAUCAUGUGAACAAUUAAGAUAAUCACUAGAAUUUUCUUAUCUCUAUGGAUUUGAACUUUUUGUUUGAUGCAAGAUUUUAAUACUAUCUGCGAGAGUCUUAUAGUAAGAAACAUUGCAACAAACUGUUGAAAAGUAAUUUACAAUUUGGUAAUAAAGGUGUUUGAAGAACAAGUGGGAAGCUUAAGCUUUGAAGGUGAAGAAAGGCACUAAGAGCAAAAUGAUGGCAUUUCUUGACUGGAUAAGCUGAGUUUUUAAAACAUGUCGUUUUAUUCUUCUGUUCUUUUUAAGUCUAUUAUAUACAAAAUGAUGUUGCUUAUGUCAUUUGGUUUAGUUUACUUGAGUCUUGUACGCAUCUUAUAGUGUUGUUUUAGCAUACUUUCCAUUUUCUAUUUCAAGACUUUUUUUUUUUUAACUUUCAAAAUAUAUAGAUGAAGCAGGGGAACCAGAGUUCACCCCAUAUAAUCAUUUUGCCAGGUUAUGCCCCUUUACUAUAGGGGUAUACCACGGUAAAAUCAUUGACAAAAGUUAAAGACCCCUGUACAUAUUCAUAGCAACACCUCUCUAUACACCCAUUAGAGCCAGUAAGUCAACCCUCAACAGCUCUUUGUUCCACUACAAAAAGAUAUGGAUACAGAACAACAAAAGUCAUAAAGAAAAAGCCAUAUCCCCAAAAGGGGACAUUCAGAUCCCUAAAUCAACACCAACCUACAUAUCAACUCACACUUAUAUAUCAAAAUGAGAGCAAGUUUCAUCCAUUAUUGCCAUUCUCAACAGAUGCAUUAUUCAGAGCCUCUAUCCAAAUAUUCACCAGAUCAAUUUCUCUUCCUAUACUAGUUUUAGCUAGGAUAUCGGCUUGAUGGUUUGCCUCCCUUCAUAUAUGUUUAAUUUCCCACAUUUUCACCUUUCUUUUCAACAUUUCAAUUUGAAGUAUCCACUUUCUCAUUCUUUAAAGAGCAUGGUUUGGUGCUGGUAUCCAUCUCACCGCAUUUGUGGAGUCACUCUCAACAAUCAGAGAAUGAGAACAAUUCCAGUUUGAAGCAGAGAACUUCAUAAAAGCUUGUCUUAUGGCCAACACUUCCGCUAAAUUAGAAUCUCCCAACCCUAUUGACUUGGAGAACAUCAUUUUGGUUUCUCCUACAGAAUUUCUGAGGAUCCCACCAAUUUCAGCUUCCCCGACGCUUCCGCUAACAGUUCCAUCAACGUUGAACUUCAUAGUAUUUCUGCAGGAUUCAUCCAUUCAACCUUAGGUCUUGUCUUUUUGACAUAGUUAAUAAUAGCCCUUAACCAUGGCUCGUUAAAGGUUUCCAGAUUCUUGCCAUAUUCCCUUAGCCAUUUGGCCUUUGCUCAUGUGGCAACUCUCAACUUCAUCAACUCGUAGAUCUGAGCCUGGUCCCAAGUUUUAUCUCCAAACACAAUGUCGUUCCUAGGCAGCUAGAGAGACCAAAUCACCACAAAGAAUGCCAUUUUUCAUAUUUUGAUUUCACCUUCCUUAAUUGCCACGACAUUCCAAGACUCAAAAAAUGUGGUUAAAUUAUCUAGUUGGACCCAACUUACAUUCCACUCCCUGCACCAUUUAGCCUAGAUAUGCCAUGAUUCAAAUAAGUAGAUGAAAAUGUGGUUAAUUGUUUUAAUAACCUAGUGGCAGAGGGGGCAGAAUGCUAAAUUCGUACUCAUCAGCCCCCUCUCACAAGCUUCGCCUUAACAGCAGCUCUUCCGUGGAGGAUUUGCCAUAUGAACAUCUCGACUUUAAGUGGAGCUAGGUUAGCCCAAACUUGUCUCCAUGUGCUUCUACCACCACUAUCGUUAUCCAAUUGGUGUCUACAGAACUCUUUGACAGAGAAAUCACCUGAGGGGGUACCUUUCCAUAUAACAGUAUUGUGUAUUUCUGCAGACAGAUGAUAAUCAUUCACCAUUGCCGUGAAUUGCUUCCAUUGUUCUUCCUCCCAUCCGAACACCCUUCUACGCAACAUUAUCUCCCAUUUCCAUUCAUUGUCUUGCCAAUGUCCAAACUCUUGUAUCUUCCCCAUUUUGUUGAUAGCUAAGAUUGGGAAAGUGUUUUUAAGGAUGAUUGCUUCGAUCCACUCUUCAAACCAGAAUAAAACGCUACUGCCAUCACCAAUCAGUCUACAUAAGUUGCUGAAAACCUAUAUAAAAUAAAGAUUAGUAGGGGAAAGGGGGGAUAAAAUAUUUUUCAAGACUUAACAGCCAUGGUUUGUCUGUUACAUUUUACCGUUGAGCUAUUCAUUGGUUAGUGUGAAAUUUGUUACUCGAUACGGUUCAUUUGAGUUGUCAAAGUAUAAAUACUGGAAGAAAAAUGAAAUCUCUACUUUUUUACCAAAUUUUGUUCUACUGCUCUGAAUGUUUCUUUGCUUCAUCUUCUUCUUUGCUUUAGUAAGAUACUGUUUCCAUUGAUUUACCUGGAAAACUUAGCUUCUAUUUUCUUCAAUAAUAAAAGGAAUUUGGCCAAGCUGUCAACUACAUCAAACCGUUGAAACUUGUUGAAAUUGUUUGAUCUGAAGCUGUUAGAUUGUAGCACCUUCCAUCUGAAAAAAAUUUCAUUUCCAGUGAUGAGAGGGAUACAGUAGCCAAGAGCCUGGAUAACAAGCAUGGCAAGAGACUUCACUGCAUGAAACAGUAUUCUUGGAGUAACGCAUCUAGCUAUGUGUGCAAAGUAUUGACAAAGUGAGCAUUAGAAUUCGUAGUAUGCCCUCAAAAGUUCUUCGGAAGACUAUGUCCUUUGUUUUUUUAAUGUAAGAAACUGGAUUAGUUUUUAGGCUGAGUUGACUGAAAUAAAGGGGGUCUUCCUCACUUCUUUUGCUGCUGAAGGAGAUUUUUACAGUUGGAUUCACUAGCCACCAUGCAUUUUCAGGAUUAUACUCUACAAUGACUUCAAACUGACAAUCCAGUCCUCUUGCAAGGUUAGUUCCCAACUUUGAGAUCUUUGGAAGAUAUCGAACAUCCCUGAAACCAACUAAGUGCAUCUUCCCCAAAAUCCGGUCAUAUAAACCCUCAAAGGACAGUGAAAUAUUGUUGUAGUGUUGACUAGUAAUUGUGAGAUGCCCUGAAAUUUCAAUUAUUUCAGUAUUAGAAUUACAUGACCCCUCAAUCUAUUUAUCAGUGUUCCUAUUGUGCUGAUACCAGUAUUCUCCAAGAAGUGAACCUAUGGAGUAACAAACUUGGCAAACAAUGGAGAAGUUGAGUUCGGACUCAUGGAUUCCUAUCUUUCCAUUUUGGUAUGUAAAAGAGGAUCCCUUAUAUGUUCAAAAAAGUUCACAAGCAGCCUUAUUGAAGUAAAUCCAAGGUAAUAGGCUUCCAUCAGGGAUCUAACAUGUGUUGGCAUCAAUAGAUUGCUAAGAAUCUGAGGAAGCAGAAAGUAGUCUUGAAGAAAAUAGAGAUAAUCCGCUAUUACGAUCACCCAAGUCUGCUGCAUAUGCACAUUUUUUGGUGCAUGCAUGCCCUCUCCAGGCUGUAGGCGCACAUCAGGAUUAUCACGAGCAGCAGGCCAAAUAAGAAAUCCGAAAGUGUGCAUAGCCAUGGUACUCAGUAAUACCUGUUAAUCUUUAGAAGCAUAUCUUAGUUUGGAGGUACCUUUAGACUGAGGCUUGCUUCGAGAUUCUGUUACCAUCUGAAAAACUCUUGCAGUACGUAGUAAGGCCACUAACAAAAGAACAUUUCCGAAACUUUCAAGAACUUUCAACAUUCCAGACGCAGGAUGACCACAGCCCGCUCUGUAAGCUUCAGGAUCCUUUGAUUUGAAGAGAACUUUGGCACCACAGAUCAGUGGAAGACUAUAUCCGAGGAUCUGAAAAGCAAGCAUGGAAAUAGAAAUGUAAGGAACAAUGUUUGCUUCUUUCUUCAUGUAUAAGAGCUGGCUCGAUAUGAUUGCAAUUUACCCAGCAAGCAUUAGAAUGCAAAGAAUCCCUUUGAGAGAUUCUCGAUUAGCAACUGUUCCAAGAUAAUCUGGAUAAUGAGUCAAAAGAGCAUGAAGGCUAAUCGAGCUAAAAUAAAGGGAAUCAUCUUCCUGCCUCUAGCUGCUGAUGGUGAUCUUGGCAGUUAGAUUUCUCCACCACUGUAAAUUUUUAGGUGGGUACUGAAUUUUCACUUCAAUUAAACAAUCUUGGCCUCGUUUUAUGUCAAUGCUCUCAACCAAAGCCAUCCUACAUCCAAUCAAAUGCAUCUCACCCAAAACACGAUCAUAUAGACCUUCCAAGGACAAGCUGAGACAUUUUUGUAAGUUGUCUGCUUGUGUUCUUUCGGGGUUUUGAAGACCAGACGCGAAGACACAUUCAAGAACCGGCAGCUUGUGAGAUCAUCUUCUGCAAUGACUGGUUUCUUCUUUAGAUUUCGCUUGUCCAUAUUGGGUUCAUACCGUCUAAAUAAUGGACCUAAAGAAAGCACCUCAAUCUCAAUGAGGAUCCUUGAUUUCUGUCCAUCAGUUAAUUGAUCAGGGACUACAUAGCCAUUUGUAGCAAGACUACUGGACAGUAGGCUUAACUGAGCAAGUGGUUCUUCUGCAUCUUUUAUUGCCGGAUACUGGAAGAGCAACAGCUUGACCAUAGCUAAAAUUUGAUAAGGUAGAGUUCUUCUCCCAAACACGUUGACCAACUUGAUUUUCGAAUAAUUGUAUGAUCCAUUUUCCAAAUCUCUGGAGCUUUUCAUUGCAUUAAAAAAUAAAGGAUUGUCCAAGCUUAUAUCCUUUUUCACGCUGGAUAUGCUUCCAAACAGAAAGCUUCUCUGCUUAAUGGAAAAUGCACGUGGAAAGUACAUGGAAAUUUCAUAAUCACAUCCUUCCAAUCCUGAGUCAACCGUCCCAUGACAUCCAACCAUGAAAGCUGUCCAGAAGAAGAGUUCCAUAUCCCCUCAGCGGCUAAAGUCAACCCUGAAAGACCAGUUCUUAAUACUUCGAAAUGUUGAAAACUUCCUGUGGGAACAGCUCUCAGCACUGCAGAAACCUUUGCAUUGCCAGUUCUGUUAGAAGUGGUAUCUUGCUCACAUUUGACAUGUUGAACAAUGAGCUUAAUGUCGUCAUAACUCAUACCACCAGUGGCCUCCAUCUCCUUCCCGAGCAAGAAAGAACCCAAUUUGCCAUGGAUCUGGCCCAAAUAAUUGCCCUUGAACCUGUAAUUUGGAACAAUAUUUAUAAUUUCUCCAUUAAGAUGGGCAUGUCCUCGACAGAACUCUUCACCAGUAAACAUCAUAGCACCAUCUUCCAUCAAUUCAUCUUGGUAAGGGAAUGGAUCACAAGUUCUUGACCGGAGCAAUCCUAAAUUAAAUUGAUACUUCGAGUGGCCACUCAACUGAGAAGAUACAUAAACUUUACUGAAGUACUUCGACCCUCCUUGUUCAUUUAGACUUUAUCAAUGCUCCCUGGAUUGCUCUUUUGGUCAACUCGAAGGUUUUAGGAUAUCGUAGAACAAGCAAAAUUUGAUCAUCUUCCAAAAAAUGGAGCCGGUGGUUACCGUAAGUGGAAAUAUAGCUGCUUGCAAACUCCGAGAACUCAUCACAGUCACACCUGUUAGUGGAAGGUGCGAUUGAAUUUGAACUUCCUAGCAAACACAUCAAACGUUCUCCUCCAUUCUCUUCGGUCUCCACAUAAAUCCCUUCAAAAGCAAUCAUCAUGACAGAUGAACCAGGAUUCAUAUGAGGCUCUAAGCCGACACCAUAAGGAACAGGAUAUGCCUAAAGAUAUAACCCCUCCGAGACUAAAUGCGUUUUUAAGGUGCUGGAAUGAAUUGACAUCCUUUACCUCAAAGGAGGCCAACUUUAGUGGGGAGGUGAGAGAUUAGCUGCUCGCUGGAAUGCCAUUGUCAUCCAAUUGCAUCAAUGGUGCCCCAUCAUUUUCCUGCUCCCAAUCUCCAAGAUAGAAGGAGAGUUCAUUCUUGAGUCUACCUCCCAUGUUGUCAUCAGGUUUCAAUUCAGAAGCUGAAGUUAGAAAAGAGCUGCAAUGGUUUUCAAUCCCAGCAGAUCGGUCGUAUGCAAUGACAACUGAAGAAUCAGCCAGAGUUUGGUAGAUGUCAUAAGGAGAUGCAAAACUACUGAUAGCACUGGCAACUCUACCAACGGCCAAAAAACAAUAACAAAAAGUUGAACCUUCAUUUCAGGAUAUUUCAGUUGACCAAAAAAAAGAAAAGAAGAACUACAGAAUACAAAGUUCGAGGAAGAAAGCUGCUAAUAUAUAUAUAUAUAUAUAUAUAUAUAUAUAUUAAAUAUAUAUAUAUAAGAUAUAUAUNNNNNNNNNNNNNNNNNNNNNNNNNNNNNNNNNNNNNNNNNNNNNNNNNNNNUAAUAGUAUAUAUAUAUAUAUAUAUAUAUAUAUAUAUAUAUAUAUAUAUAUUGGAUAAUUGAAAAAAAAAAAAAAAACCCCUUUCAAUUGGAGAUGCCAGCAAUUGGGGUAGCUAAAAUGUAGGGCCAAAAUGUCGAAGGAUCGAAUUAAAUAUUUAUGCGUCUGCUGUAACUGUGAGUGGUGCUGAUAAACUACCAGCAAGUGUUCUCAAAGCAAUAGACUUUGAAGGGAUUAAAUAAAGAAAUAAAGAAGGCUCAAGGGUUGAAUGUAGACUAGUGAUGUUAAAAUUAGAUCAAAGGAAGGAGCAGCAUCUUCAAUGGUGGCAAUUUCGAUGCAGAAAGACAGAUAUAACACUUGACAGCCUAGGUGGCCAUGUGCUUGGUAAGAAACAAGCCCAUGUAACCACAUCUCCUUUCCUGAUGCGAAAACAAAAUGGGUACUAAGUUAUAAGCGAAUUCAACCCAAAAGGAAACAAAAACAGAGUCACCCUUUGGUUGGGAAUAAUCUUAUAAUUGGAAACUACUCCAUUGAAUUUUCUCAAAACCAAUGCAGGGCAUCUACUGUUUUUCAGAAGCAAAGUUAGUUAAGUCCGGUUUGACUAUAUAAAAAAGAAUAUAAUAAGCAACAAAUUAAAGUUAUACAUAUUAUAUCACAUUACAAGUACUAGAUAGUUAGUAGCCCCACUUGGGAUAUUACUUCUUUUUUAUUGUUAACAAUUUCAGAACUCUUCUUUCAGCUAGCUGACUCCUAUAUAAAUGCACUCAUAGCAUUUAUUAUAAAUGAAAUAAAUGAGAGAGAAAAAAAAUUUUCUAAACGAACUUUUAACCUUUUCACUGAAAAAAUUAUACAAAUACCUGCCAUAAAAAGGUAUGGCUUAUGGAGGAGUUCCAUCCAAAAAACAAAAAUAAUAUUUAAGACCCUCUGUAAUUUCGAAAGGUUUAAACUUUUAUGUGCUUUCGGCCUAUGAAUCAGCCUACUCUUGCAUAUGGGCUUUUGACCGAUCCCUUGACCGCUAGACAGUGCCAACAGCCCACAGCCCAUGGCUGGCUUUUUCUUGUUUCUGUGGACAUGGCCAGUAUCCUAUACGCUAGUAUCAUAGUAUUAAACCUUAUAAAUGAACUUAUAUGGUAGUGACAUGCUUAUUAGUUUAUUAUUUAAAGGAAAGUUAUAGAACUAAGAUAAUAUAAUUAUUAAAUAGAUACAUGUUAAUUUUAUAAACCAACUUACUAUUUAAUACCAUCUACAUAUAAUAUAUGAUUCAAGAUAUAAAGAAAUUAAUAGCAAAUGGUUAAAUUAUUAGUAUAAGUUUAAGUACUAUAUAGUAACAAUUAUCGAGGUCACUUCCAGGUGUUUACCUUCAAAAUCCAAUACAUCAAUAGGUCAAAUGGCUUUCUUAAAUAAGUGUAAACUUAUCUAAACUUUAGUUGGUAGGAAAGGAAAUGAGGUGUAGGCUAUAGGGAGCUUUAACUGACCAAAAUUCUCAUUGGAUCAGAUAAGAAUAAAACUGUUGAAUUGAGUGGGAUUUUAUUAGAUGAAGUUUUGUAUAGACACAGCUGCACGUGUCAAAGGCGAGGUGACACAUUUAGGUAUAUGGAAUUUUUGUUAUUGUAAUUGAAAGUGUACUUUCUGUUGACACUCAUGACAACAACAGGUCAAAAAAAAUUAAAAAUUAAAAACCACAUUCCUGUCUUCAAUGACACUCUAGUCCCUGCCUUUUUUUUCCGAGUCAUCUUUUUGGUAAGAGGCCGACCAAAGAUAUUCUAAUUCCAUUCUCCACUCUCCUAAUUCAGAUGCUAUAUUUGCAUUGUCUAUUCUUAUCUAUGGUCAAACUACUCUAUAGUAUAGUUCUUGAAAAGGAGUGAUGAUUCUAUGGCAAAACAACAAAAACAGAAAAAAACAACUUUAAUUCAUCAUAUAAUACCCUUAAUUAUGUCAUUUAUGGAUGCAAUUGUGUAUACCCCAUGUUCAUUUAUGUUUAUAUAUGUAUUUUGUAUAUAUGACACAACCAGGGGCGGAGCCUCCUUAUGUGAUGGGGGGCCAUGGCCCCCCCAAAAUUUUAAAAAAAUUUUCAUAACAUAUAAAAAAUUUUAAAUUUUUUAUAUAUUAUAUUACUAAUUCCCUCAAAAUAAUGUUUUAUUUAAUAAUUAAUAUAAAUAAAAAUAAUAAAAUGAUUUCACUUAUCUCACUCAACUUUAAUUUUUUUUAAUUUAUAUCAUUAUUUUUAUUUAUAUUUUUUUUUCAUUUUUAUUCUAUUUGUUCAUAUGUUAUAAGUUCUUAUAAAUAUUCUUCCCUAAAUUUUUACAAACCAUUAACUAUAUUCUUUUUUUUUUUUGUUAUGUAAUAUGUGGUAUCUACCUUCUACUUAUCAUGUUCUUCUUUUUCAUAUUACAUAAAUUUUAUUUUUUAUGAUUUUAAUUUUUAAAAAUUAAUAAAUUAUUAUAUAAUUUUCAAAUAUAAGUUAUAGCAUUACAUUGUUAGUUAAAAUUUCAUCAACAUAUCAUUUUUUUUAUUUAUCUUGAUUAUGUAAGAGGAAACUAACUUGAGUAUAUUUUUUUUAUAUGUUUUACAUUUUAUGUUUAGUUAAAAUGAAAUUCUCUCGAAUAUAUAGCAUUUAAAUAAUUCUGAUUAUAUAAGAAAAAAUUAUUAAUCUUAUAUAUCAUUUUUAACUAUUUAUGUUUUACAAAUUAUAGUUUUAUAUUUAGUUUCAUAUUUCUAUUAUCAAUAUUUUUAUUGUUGAUUGAAUUUAACAUAUUAAUUUUUUAAAAUUUUUAACUCUUAUUCAACUAUGUUUGGCCCUCCCAAUAAAAUUUGGCUAGCUCCGCCCCUGGACACAACCGUUGCUAUCUAAUGAUUGACUUCUUGUGCUUAAUUAUCUUGUUCUAGUUUAUUCUUAGUUUUUUUCAUUUAUGAUAUAGAAAUACUUUUUAAUAAAAACUUAUGGAAUCGUUAUAAAAUUUUUACACUUUAGCACCUAUGGAUAAAAAAGGAGUUCAAGAGAAGCACGUAAAAUCAUUCAAGCUCAUGCAUGCAUGUGUAUAUCGUUCACAGUAAUACAAUAGAAUUUUCUUUUUAUUCCAAUGAUGUCUAUCUUUAUCUUUUUUUUUUCUUUCCCCUUCCUUUUUUUCACCCUCUUUUCAAGUAUUACAACUUUCAACGUCUAAAAUAACUAAGAAACGCACAAACUUUACAUUAAGAUAAGCAUGAAGCAUCCAAAUAAUGCAAAUCCUACAGCUAGCUAGCAAGCAAUUAUCAAUCAAUAAGCAAGUUCUGAUGCUAAAGCAAACUACGACGAAUCUAUCCUAAAUGAAUUAGGGAAUUUAGUAGAACAAUCAGUUUCUCCAUCAGCAAUCACAGUUUUGAUGAUUCGCUCUCAAGGAGAAAACCUUACAACCCGUAAAUGUAAACAUCUUUGGCUUUCCGCAAAGCUUGAGAAUAUUUCAUAUCAUGCAACAUAUAAAAGGUCGUUGUUCUUUUCGAUUCUUUAAUUGAUAUUUCUUCCUUGUUCUUGAACCAAGUUGAAUGGAACUUUGAAUUCUGAUAAUUUUUAUUGAUAACGAAUUGAGUUUUGGAUAUAUAAUUGGAUUCAGAAGAAUAGAAUCUUGUAUUUCUGUUCUGCGUUUGAAAUCCUUUGAUUUCUUCAUGUUAAUAAUUCUAAGAAUCUAAACCCACUCUCAAAGCGCACUAUAUAGUUGCAUUUAUCUGGUCUUUGAACUCUCUUGAUCUUUAUUCUGUCUAAUGAGGUCAAUUACUUGAUUUAAUUGUUAUGCAUUAGAUUAAUUGUUUAAUGCCUGAUGCCAAUUGAAUUUUUUUAGGUAAGGCAAAAUUAAGUGGAUGAGCUAAUCUCCAGUAUCUAAGAAGUUAAUUAAUUAGGUUAAGACCUUACUAUACUAUAUUAAUUACGUUUGGGCUUCAUAUUCAAAUGAAUUUUACAACACAACCCAAUACAUUGCUUGGCAGCUGAGAUUUAGGAAAGAAAUGAAGAGAAAUCAACAGAAUGUGAGAAGAAAAAAUGUUAUUUGGAGUCAAAUAUAUACUUCUAUUUACUUUUUAAAGUUUGAGAGAAGUAACUAAGUAAUAAAUGAAAUUAAUAAUUUAUAGGGUAAAAUACUCUAACACUCUCAAGUUUUAUCCAUAAUUCUACGCAAGUUCAUAAGUUUUCAAAAUAUAUAAUCCAUCCCAAACGUGAAAUGUCUAAAAUACUCUUUUUCUUUCUUCAUUUAUUUUUACUAUUUUUUUUCUCAAGCCAACCGAUAGUGCUCCCUUAUGCUAGUUGAGGGAGUGCAGAUCUCGUGCUCCCCAAGGGAGCCACAUCCCUUAUCUCAUGUUCUCCCUGAGGAAGAUUCAACUGGAGCCAAAUUUAGCGUUCCGAUCGCAGGAAGAGAAAGGGGAGAGAUUUUUUUAAUAGGAGAAAAAAAUAAAAAAUAAAAAAUAAAAAAUUAUAGUUUAUAUAGUGAGGUAAUUUUCAAAAUUAAUGAAAAGUAAAAUUGUUCAAGAAAUAUUACUACGUCAUCAAAAUAACAAAAACAUUAACGAUUGACUAACAGCCAGACUUAUGUGUCUAGCGAAAAAUAUUCUUUUAGACCAGACUGUAUAUUUUGAAAACUAAUAGACAUGUAUGAAAUUAUGACUAAAACUUGAAAGUGUUAGUUUAUUUGACCUUAAUUUAUAAAAUAGGAUAACCCGUUUAUAGAUUAAAAAAUGUUAAUAUGUAUUAAAGGACAUUCACAAGCACCAGACCACCACCAUGCUUGAACUGAAUCAAUUAAAGGCACCAAUCUCAUAAUCUUCAGUAGAACUUAUUGCCAUUGUAUUAACGCUGAGGUGAUGUUUGGUAUUUUAUAAUGCAAUCAUAUUGUAAGGAAUUCAAAUAUAAUUGUAAGAAAUGUGAUUGCAAAAAAUGUGGUUGUUAGAAAAAUAAUAUUGCAACUUUUGGUAGAGUAGGAAAUUAUUGAUAAAAAUGCUAGGAAGAUAAAACUGCAAUCUUUGGUUUAUAAGCAUUAUAUUGAGAAUGUGAUAAUAUUUAUUGAAACUUUUUCAUUUUUAUUGUUUUAGAUAAUUUUUAAAAGUACAUUUCAAAUUUCAUUAUUUUAUUAUUGUUGUUUUAAUUUGCCCUCCUUUUAUUGUUGUUUUUCUCAAUUUCUUCAAAUGUCAUUUGCUUUUUCUUUUUUUGUUAAUCUUAAAUUUUGAAACUGACUCAUGACACUUGUAGACCGAUUUCCUUUAGACUUAAACCAAAAAACCCUGAAACUUUAUUUUUGUUUUAAUUUCCAAAACCCCUAAACUCAUUUUUUCAAAACCAUUAAACCCGAUUCAUCAUAAAACCUAACCCAAUUCAAUUCAUCAAAAACCCUAAACCCAAUUCGACAAAAACCCUAAGCCUAGUUCACCAAAACACUGAACUCAAUUCAAUAAAAAUCUUUUACUCGGUUCAUCAAACCUUACACCAAUUUAAAAAGCCUUAAAACCGAUUUGCUAAACCCUAAAAUUGAUUAACUAACCCUUAAAACCAAUUCAAAAAACCUUAAACUAGUUCACCAAAUCCAGUUCACCACACUCUAAAAUCAUUCAUGAAAUCCUAAAACCGAUUCACUAAAUCCUAAAAUUAGUUCACCAAACUCUAAGCCAAUUUAGACAUAAAAUUAAUUCACUAAACCAUAAAAUCGGUUCACCAAAACCCUAAAACCUAGUUAAAAAAAGUUAAAUUGAUUUAUCAAACCCUAAAAUCGAUUCAUCAACCCCUAAAACUAGUUUGAAAAACUUUAAAACCGAUUCACUAAACCUUAAAAUUGGUUCACACAAAAUCCUAAAACAAAUUCUUUAAAUCCUAAAACCAAUUCACCAACAAGUUUACAAAACCUUAAAAUCAGUUCAUGAAACCCUAAACCAAUUCACCAAACCUUAAAAUCGAUUCACUAAAACCUUAAAAUUAAUUCCCUAAACUUUUAAAUCGAUCGAUAAUCCCUAAAAUGAAGUUAACGAUAGAAAGGAUUUGGCCAUCACAACUCCAUUGCGCCUUGCUCCCACUAUGUUGAGAUUUGAUACGAUAGAUUGCAAACAAAAGUCAGCUUCAAACAUUGGAUUUUACAGUGCAUGAUGUUCACAGGGCUCUCUUUGAUGUUAUUUUAUCUUUUGAGGGUAAUCUAGAGUGCAGCGAUGAUAUGUUAAAAUUUAGAGGCACAAUUCAUAGCCUUAAGGGAGGUUUUCCAUGUUUUAGAAAAAUUAAAUCAAUAGGUUCAUAAUAAAUUUACUAUUAAUUUACUGAAUUUGUAUCAUACUAGAAGGCUUGAGCAGUAUACUUUAAACUCACUUCCUGUAACAUUUGGUGAUUCUUUGUAAGCUAUAGAUCAAUAGAGUUAAUUCCUUUUGUUAAAAAAAAAAUUAAUCUAAACCUUUUCUGUGAUUUAAAACGAUAAGCUUUGGAUCCAACUUUUUUCAAAUCUUCAUUGGCAUAACAUUGGAACGCUUGGCCUUUCAAUUGAAGCAGACCCCUCGAACCCCCAUUCCUCCCCCCCCAAAAAAGAAAAAAACAUAGUGGUCCUUACUUCUCAUAGAGGCUUUCUAUAGUAAAAGGGGGGUUAAGGUAGGCUACAAAAAGUAGCGGAUAGGCUGUUCGCAGAUACGCUUUUGCCCCAAUCUCAACAAACCCAUGUGAACCCCCAACCAAAACAACCAAUGCAUGUACAUCUAAACAAAAAGCGCACGUUUAGCUGUUUGUAUGCUUACAUAAUAGCAUACGUUAAAAGUGGAAAUAUAAACACCUCCCAAUUAAUUUACUCGCAUUUUCAUCCUGAUUAUAGGCUUUUCUAUUGUAUAUAUAGCACCAAUUCAAAAUCAAUAUUUUUACUUAUCCAAAAACAAAUUAAAUCAAUUGCAAAAAUUAAUCAAUGAACAAACAGCAAAAAGGAGGUUUACAAAUAUAGGAUGAACUUUUUUCUUUUAUCAAAAUAAGUUUUUUGAGCUGAUAGACUAGAAAACGAAACAAUGUGGAUGACUAAAUUGACAAAAAAAAAGAAAGAAAAGAGAAAGAAGAUUAUAAUAACUUCAUGAGUGAGGAUGCAAAGUCGCCAAGGAACAGCCGCAAAGGCAGAAGAAUUUUAUUCUAAAUAUGGUAAACUACAUUGGAAACUCCACCAAUUAGUGGACGACACACAAUCCAAAUCCAAAUGUCCCCCUCCUAGAAGAAUUUAGCUAUGUAUUGUAGCAGACGAAUUUCUCUUUUUUUUCUGAAGAAAAGCUAUGUACUAGACCACGGUGCACACAACGAAGAACGCUGUGCUUCACGUUAAUUAAAACCCCACCACUCCAUUUUUAUUUUUUUAUUUUUUGUAGUGGAAAAAUUAAAUAUAUACUAGUAUUAUGAAUAACCCAAUGUUGUUCUAAUUUCGAGAGCCUAUAGUCCAUUUUUGGGUAUUUUGAUAUUUUUAGUAGGAUAAUAGAAAAAGAAAAAGAAAGGAGAAGGGGGAGGGAAUAUUCGGGGCAACAUUUACACCAGACAAAAGGGAUAUUCAGAAGGACGAUAUGGGGGAAUAUCAGCGACACGUGUCACGAGGAGAAUCUCCUUUCCUUUCCUUUGCUUUCCGUUGCUUUCUCUCUCUUUCUCUCGCACAUAAUAACAGAGAAGAGAGAGAAGAGAGAAUCUGCAGAAAAGGCAUGGGUUGGAGUCUUGUACGAGAAGACUGGUUUUAGAUUUUAGAAAGAGACCAACCAUCAUUAUUGCCACUUCUUUCUUUCUCUUUUGCUGCUAAGUGCUAAGAACUAGUAAGAGAGAGAGAGAGAGAGAGAGGGUAAGGGAAUUCGAUGCAGUCUCUUACAGAGACUUUGCCUUUUACUUUCAUGGAAAAGGCAUUUCUUACAGUUUUCAUCUUUCCUUUGGCUGCUCACUCUGGGUCGGGUCAGCUCCCUUAUCUUUACCCGUUUCCUUAUUAUCCUCUCACUGUCUCACAUCAACUCAUGCCAUGCACGCAGGCCAUCAAUAUCCUUUUUUUUCUCCCUUCAACUAUGCAUGGAGCAUGGUAUCCCAUGCAUGCCCAUUAGCAUAUUUUUUCAGCACUAAUAAGUAUAUAUAUCUAUAUUGCAUUGCAUUAUAAAAGUUGUUAAUUAAGCCGUUGUGAUUACUAAAGUUUUGGGUUGGUUUUUUUUUUUCUUAUUUAUUUACAGGAGGAAAUGGGAUAAAGGAUUGUUGGGGUUCGAACUCAAGAUACAUGUCUCACCAACGGUCAUGGUGCCAUCAAGUCAAGUAGCGAAAGGCGGAGUUUUGGAAUUUCUAAGGAAGAGUUUGUUGUAAUCUAAAGCCUUUUGAAGAUGGUUUGAUAAUAUAGAAACAAAGUCACAGUACCCCACCCACUUUCUCCAGCUUUCUUUUUCUUCUCACUAGAAAAAUAGAAGCUUGAGUGUGGCAAGCAUAUGUGCUUGUCGUUGAUUCAUAUGCUAAAUAAGUUUAUGUGCAUUUAAAUAAAAUUAAUACUCUGCUAACAUCAAAAGGUGGCAUAAUUUUAACAAGGUAUAUACAGCUUGUAAAACUUCUAAAAAGGGUACUGGUGUGUUGAAGAAAUAUAAAACACAAUGUAAUACUGAUAGAUCUAUAAAAUUACAAAAGUUCUAGUACUAGUACUAGUAUAUUGUCUCUUUUUCUUUUUUAAGCUAUACUGUUUUCUUUCUAUUUUUCUAUUUGGUCUUUUUCUUUUAAUUUUGUUUCCCCUUUCACAAGUUGCUGCACUGUUACAAAAUGAGGGCUGCCAUGAAAAGUAAAGCAACGAACCAGGUUUGUUCUCCAUUAGGCAUGGAUGGAUCAAGGACAAUAACAAUUAUCCAAGUUUCAAACCAAAAAGACUUGGAAUUCUCCACUUACUUUCAGGUUGUGGGCUGGUCAUGCAUGUUAAGGAAUAUAUAUUAUCAAAUGAAAGGAACUGAAAAGAAUUGCAAGAGUCGUCUGAAUAUAUGUAAUAUAUAUUCACCAGCAGCUAAGGAAUUACUUGAACUCAUAUCAUAUCAAUCGGUUGGCCAUGAUAAUAAAUUAUCUAGAAGAAGGAAAGUCAUUGGAGAGUCCAAAUAUAUUAUGACCCGCCCGGAUCCGAGCCAGGUUCAUAUAUAUGCAUAUAUGACCCCACAAAGGAAAUGUUCUAAUUUGGGAGAGAAUCUUCUUACCUUCCAACCCACUUCACUAAAGUUAGUAGCAGAAGAAGAUUCCCAGCUCUUAAGCUCCUUUAUCAUUCUUUUGGGAUGGGAUUUUUGCCUUUAAGCUUUGUGGGUUGUGUUUAGAGUCGUAGAAUUGGAACUAAGAUAUUCCUUCCUUAGAGGCAAAUAUUAUAUUCUUUUGUGAUGAAUGUUUCAUUUUAGAUUAGAUAUUCUCUUUCCCCUCUCUCUGAAUUGCACUCAAUUUUAGGGCAAUUAUGCAACUUUUGAAACCAUAAAGAAAGUUGCAUUGGUGGAUUGAUACUAAACACCUUCUGAAUAUGUCCUUUCCCUCUCUCUCUCUCUCUCUCCAAUAUGGUGGGUAAAAAUUACUAGAACGUUAAAAAAAAAAAAUUUGGCCCUGGUAUAUGCUCCUUUGCAACCUUUCUCAAUUAAUUAAUCAUGGUAGAAUCAUUUUAUUUUAUUUCAUUUUACUUAAAAAGGAAGAGAGAAUUCUUAGGCAACGAUGCCCUUAAGUACUUUUUGUCCGUACACGUGUCUAACAUCCAAGGUUUUGUUUGGUGAUUAGGUGAGGAUUUUUCUUGGUUAAGCUAGACAAACGUGUGGAUCCUAAUUACCAUAUAGCAUUAGCGUUGCCCACGCAGAAUUUCCUUUUUUGACUUUUGCCAUCGUUUUUACUUCAUUGGGGUCCCAUUGGACAUGGUUCUAACCCUUUAUGAAGUAGAGUCUCAGCCAUGCAAAGAUUCAUUAAUGGUGUUAAGUUAAAGAAAAUUUUGAGGGUACAGUUGAGCAAUACAAAGAAUUAAGAAAUAGUUAAAAUAUUGAAUUAUAAACCUGAAUGAUGCUUUAAAUAUCCUACACCGUUAAUGAAGUUCUCAUUUUAAAAGUAGGAGAAGUGAAGAAUCAAAGGUUUAUAGCUUCACAACAAUCAAAAGUAACAAAAAAAUAAAAAAAAAGAAUUAAAAGAAAAAAAAGUACAAACAGUAAUAAGAAGAAUCAUCUUUUGUGUUGGUGAUUUUGAAUUUCGUACACAGACUAAGCACAUGACCCCUCUGCUGUCAGACCUUCUUGAUUCCUUCUCUCUCUCAAUUUUUAGCUUUUUCUGCCUUUGUUCUUUGCAAGAAGUUACCAUCCCUCUGCUUUAUCCCCCCCCUUAGCUUUUCCUUUUCCUCUUUCUCUCUCUAAAACCCCUACUUUAUUCCUCUUGAACUCACCCCUAAAAGACGAUCCUCCCUCGAUCCUCCUUGUGUUCACAAACAACAUACCUUCGCUUUCUCUCCUCAUCUCUCUCUCUUUGAAUACUCAAAACCUAGAAAGCAAAGCCGACCACACACUCUCUCUUUUGCUCCUUCGUUUGUUUGUUUGUUUGUUUGUUUGUUUUUCCAUAGAACAGCCUUAUUAUUGUUGCUAUUAUAGCAUGAGCAAUAUUGUUCCAAACAACAACUUUUGCUGAGAAAGAGAGGUUUUCUUGCUGUCUUAUACAUCCAAAAAAAACAAAACAUAUAUGGCAUCACCUUCUGAACUAACCCUUGACUGCAAACCCCACAGUUAUUCUAUGCUAUUGAAAUCUUUUGGUGAUCAGCAGAUUGAUCAAACCCAGAAGCUUGAAGAAUUCCUUUCUCGUCUUGAGGAAGAACGCCUCAAGAUCGAUGCUUUCAAGCGAGAGCUUCCCCUUUGCAUGCAACUUCUCACCAAUGGUACGUAUGAUCAUUUUUUUUUUUUUUUGCAUUCUUCUUGGUAAACAGAAAAGGUUUAUCCAAGGAUCUACUACAUGCCAGGAUUAAUUUUACCUUUGAUUCUUGAAAUUGAUAAUAUAUUAAUGGUUUAAUAAUAGAAUCAUCAUCACCUUAAGAUCCAAAAUGACAAUAAAGAAAUUCUUUUCCUAGCUACUGGUGGAUAUUCAUGUUCUUUGGGCUGAUGUGUUAGUUUCCAACCUUUUUCUUUUACUACUAUCUUUUUGAUUUAUAGAAGUUAGAGUUAGCUUUCUUAUUUGUAUAUGUUUAUUUGCUAGUCCAAUCUGUUUGAAUUGAGAGGGUCCCGACAUAUGCAUACAUUUUCUAAAGAACUAAAGCCAGAAUGAAAUGUCCAGAAGAAAAGGACUCACUAAUAAUUGUUUUUCCCUUCUUUGUUUUUCUUCAGCUGUGGAGGCUUCAAGGCAGCAACUACUGGCAUGCCGAGCAAAUCAUGGAUCAAGACCAGUUCUUGAAGAAUUCAUGCCCCUGAAAAACUCAAGCUCGGAGAACUCAGAGAAGUCACAAAACAUAUCUGAUAAAGCAAACUGGAUGACAACUGCACAACUAUGGAGCCAAGCGGGAAACGAAACGAAACCACAAUCUUCAAUUACAUCCCCUAAAGAAACUGAGAUCGGUUUCAAUGUUAGUCCCAAGCUGGCCUUAGAUACGAAGCCGAGGAACGGAGGAGCUUUCCUUCCAUUUACCAAAGAACGAAACUCAUGCCCUGGUUCGGCUUUACAGGCUCUUCCUGAUUUAGCUCUUGCUUCUGCCAAUAAAGAUAUGGAAGAUAAGAGAUGCUCAGACACCGAAAAUGGCAUGUCUUGUCAACGGAGAGAGAACUCUGGCAAAGUUAGCAACGGCGUAGUUGUGAUCGAGCAAGGAAGAGGAACGGCUAACACAAUUGAUGGGCAAACGGCAAAUACUAACCCUAGUGCAAACACUACGCAACCUCAUAGGAAGGCUAGGCGAUGCUGGUCACCUGACUUGCAUAGGAGAUUUGUCAAUGCUCUCCAGUUGCUUGGGGGUUCUCAAGGUAUGACAAAUUUCUUUUGUUUUAUUUUUUGAUAAUUGGUUUGAUCAUUGUUGGUGAAAUUAUGUAACUGAAUUGAUCAGUAUGAAAGUCAAGCUAUCAUUAUCAAAAUCAUUGAUUCUCUGAAAGUAAUAUUCUGAUGAUGGUUACAGUUGCCACACCAAAACAAAUCAGGGAGCUGAUGAAGGUAGAAGGUUUGACCAAUGAUGAAGUGAAAAGCCAUCUGCAGGUAACUCUCUCUCUCUCUCUCUCUCUCUCUCUCCAGUACUGAGGCAUGCAAGAAAGAGCUUUUGUACUGAACCUGACAAAGCGCAACAGUGCACACAAUGUCUGAUAAGUUAAAAAAUGUCGGUGUAAAUCUUUUAAUCUUCUGAUGAUUUUUCUUCUGCUCUUUUUUGACAGAAAUAUAGGCUUCAUACGAGGAGACCAAGCCCAAGUCCACAAGCAACAGGAGCCCCAACACCCCCGCUUGUAGUCCUAGGUGGCAUCUGGGUCCCACCAGAGUAUGCCACUGCCGCAGCAGCCGCCUACAGUGGGGCCCCCACUCUGUAUGGAACUCACCACCCAGCAGCUGCCCAUGCACCACCUCACUUCUGUGCACCACCAGUGCCCCAAGAGUUCUACACUGCUGCAGCAACACCAGCUCCACCACCACCCCAGCUGCACCACCAUGCCAUCCACCACCAGCUCCACAUGUACAAGGCCAACUCACAGGCCCAUAGUUCACCGGAAUCCGACGUCAGGGGAGCCGGAGACCGCUCUGAGAGCAUUGAAGACGGUAAGUCUGAGAGCAGCAGCUGGAAAGGUGAGAGCGGUGACAACGGUGGCGCUGGAGAGAGAAAAGGGUUAGCUGCAUUAAGAGAAGAAGGUGAAGAAAGCAAUGGUAGUGAGAUCACUCUCAAAUUCUGAGAGAGUUUAAAAAAAAAAAAGAGCGGGAGAUUUAGGGUUAGGGUUAGAGUUUAGGUAUUCCGUGUAAUCAUAUGCUAUUAUUAUUAUUAUUAAUUGCGUUCAAAAUUCCUAAGAAAAAAAUUACGUUAAAUAUGAAGAGAGGGUAAGAAGGGCAUAAUGGAAAAGUGAGUGGUCGUUUUGUUCAAUUGCUUCCUGUGCUUGAAUGUCUUUUUCGAAGAAAAUAUUGAACAUUAGAUUAUUUGUUUUUGGCGUUUUCUGUGGUUUUCACUUUUGCCACCGUGGACAGAUUUGCCCUUGUCUUUUCCGGAUAAUCUCCGCCGUCACAAGGCUAAGAGGGACGAGGCAAGGUCUUGGUGCCCGGCUGCAGACAUAAAACGUCCAUGCUUCUUUUUCAAAAGCAAUCAUUACUACCGACAAUCAAUGGAUAUUAUUAGAAUUUUUACAAAUAAGAAAUUAAUCAGGUUAUAAAAUAAGAUUAUAUGGAUAAAUAAAAAUAUAUGGCUGGAUAAUUGAAUAAUUUUAAAUAAAUGUGGGAAUGAUGAUAUCAAUAAAUUUUUGACAUAAUAUAUAAAAAUAUUUAAAUAAAUUUUUAUACUUUUAUUAAGUUUAAUCAAAUUUUUAUAUUUUUAUUUUGAAUCAAAUAAAUUUUUAUACUUUUUAUUUUGAGUUAAAUAAGUUUUUAUAACUAAUAAUUGAUUUAAUCAAAUUGUAUGACAUUGAUGUGGUAUGUUAAAAUAAUAUAAUUGAUUAUGAUGUGACACAAUGACCUAUCAUAAUUGAUGAUGACAUUACAUGCUAAUUGGGCAUGAUAACAUAAUUAUGUGACAUUUUUCAACCUCCACAUUAAUUUUAUGUCAAUGCUAUAUGGAUAUAAAAUGACAAAUAAUAUUUUUACUAAUAGUAAUUAGUUAAUCAUUAAUUAUGAGUGCUUAUUUGACUCAAAAUAAAAGUACGAGGAAUUAAUUAAACGCAAUGAAAGAAUAAAGACUUAUUUGAAUAUUCUUGAAUAAUUUAGGAGCUUAUUUAAGUAUUAUGUCUAAAUUUUUUCCAUUCAUUAUUGAAAUUGUCUUGGAAUGGUGAGUUAACACAAAAUUAAGAGCAGCUAGAUUAGUUGCGCUUGCCCCUAAGAUUAAGGAAGUUAAAAUUUUAUUUAAGAAAAAGAGGCACCGAAAGUGUCAAAUUCCUUUACACCUAGCCAGUCCCCCCAUAAACUUUCUUGAAUAUACAUGAGCAACUCUCUCUUUAUUGCUUUUUUCUUGUUUAAUUUGAACAGCGCCUUUAGUCUUUGACCAAUUUCCACAAAAAUACAUUUUAACUUGGGGUUAAAGCACAUAUGACAUUGAACAUCAACUUUCUUGUACCUUCCCUUUCUGUUCAACUAGAAUUUGUAUGCUUGUUUCUUUUUGAAAAUUCUAUGAAAUAAAAGCGAAUGGAAGAAAUAACUCCUUGGACUUUAUGGAAUUUAUGAUUCUCCUCUUCUUACAUUUAGGAUGAAUUUCUAAUAUAGCAGGAUCGCAGGGUUUAGGACAAGAAUUCAGAAGAAAAUGGCAGGGGCUUUUUGGGCAGGCAAAUCCCAAGGAUUCGCAUAUUGUUUACACUUUACAUAUCAUUGCAUCGCGCUGGUCUUCAACAUUGCCAAGGCUGGGCAUGACUACUUUGUUUAUAAAAUUAUUACUUCAGACACCAUGGUGAACAGUUGACCCAGGGAAAUAUUAUCAUUGUUGAAUUGACAUUUUUUGACGUGGGAUCCCAUCUGCCUUUUUCUUCCAAAUUGUCCUACAACAAAAAUGUAAAAGUGACAAAAGUUGUUAGAUACCCACAUCAUUCCUUGCAUAACACAGAAAUGGAGUCCCCAUAUUCCAUAUUCGUCUGUAUAUUUAAUUCAAUUGUCAAGACUCGAGACCAAACUUCCAAGCCAGAGGCUCUCUCUUCGUCUUAGAUAAAGACAUGGCCUGUUAUUGAAACAUCUUGGGCUGGACGCCUAGACCUGCAGGUUAGCACUCAUCUCAUAGGGUGAUGGGUGACCGUUGGGCCAUAGGCUCACAGCCCCAUAGUCGAUUCAAAUAACCUGGUUAUGAACCCCGUUUGGACGUACGGGGUCCAAUGCUGUUUAGGAGGCACGUAAGCUGGAGAAGCGUUCCCACCAAACUGCCCCGUACGUCCAAUCAGAUUUAGUCACUAACCAUCCACUCAGAUAGAAUUUGCAGCAGCAGAUGACAUACAUUAAUAACAAUCAGAAAGUAUGGUCGAACAACACUCCAGAUAUCAGUAUAUACAUCUAAAUUGAGGAGCUAGCUUAAUACUUCAAUCUCCUGAUGCUCUAUUUACAUAAAGGUACAAGUAGUCCAACCAAAGGGUAAGGCUGCGUGUGUCAUCUUUAAACAAAUGAGACAUCAGAGGAUUACUAAACUUCAACAUAAAAUCAGGCAAUGCCAUUUGCCAAAGUACCACCCCGUACAGCCACAUCAUCUUCACUCUCUAGUAUUGCUGAAUCAACAAGAGACUGCAAGGAAAAGUUAUAGUGAGUAUGAUGAGUGCUGCUAUUUCUAUCAUGAAUGAUUGUAAAGACACUUUUUUCUAAGCUCCUUAGAUACUGAGACCCUAAUCCUGCUAAUCGCCAUAUGGAACCUCACUGCUUCAAAUAACUAUUGAGCUAUAUUCGUUCAAAACCUUUAACUACAGAACUAAGACCUACUUCAGCUGAGAAAGCUACAUGUAAUACAAGGGUAGAAGCAUUAAUGUAUGCAAGUUCCCUAUGUAGGGCAUGUAUGCAGUAUUUAUCUUAGCAAUGGGCAAAAUUGACCAACAAAAAAAUUGAUACAUAAGACAAACAAUAACAUGCAAUUAUGUGCUUAGUAAUAUUGCCACAAUCAUUCAAGUAUUUGGCUCCAGAGCAUGUUUUAAACCAAACAACAGAAUAAAAUAGCAAUUGCACAUAAAUCAUGACCAACAGAGUGAAGAGGCUAACCUGAAGUUCUUGUUCACAGCUUUUAAGUUUUUCCCUAUACUCCUUUACUUGCAGGAAACAUUUAUGCAGCUGCAGGUCAUUCAUUUGAUAUAAAAAAUUUUGUACCAAAAAGAAAAUUUUAAAUUUUAUUCCAACCAUAUUGCAGCAGAGUAUCUCAGAGGACUACCUUGGUUAACUGCAUUUUGCGCCGAGAAGAGAGCUUCUUUGCAGAAAUUAAUGAAUCCUCCAAGGUCUAUAUGAAUCGGAUCAAAUUCUUAGUGAUGAAAUGAACCAGGCCAAAUAAACUGAAACCAUGGGUAAUAUGAUAACUAUACCUUAGAUUUUUUCUGUAAAUCCAAAACAAUUUCUUGUCUCUCUUCUAACCUCCCUUCCAUCAGCGAAAUCUGACAAGUGAAUAAACAUUACUUUUUCUAAAUAUGUUUGUGUGUGUGUUGGUUUAAGUGGGGUAGGGGUGGUAAACAACUUUGUAAACACCACUCAGAAGGUGAUAUUCUGACUAUAGUGAUUGCCAUGGUAGUGCAAGUGCAAGAGUGUGUAUGCACCUUCUAAGUUUCAGAGCAGGAUAUUUAACAUAUGCAUAGACUGUGCCUAAAUUCUAUUAUAUCUAUCUACCUAUACAAGAUGUCUUAGAAAAUCGCCACAAAAAAUUCUAAAUAUGUAGCAAACCUCUUGUUUAAGUUCUUCCCGACUUUGAAUCAAUCCUUCAAGCUCAUUUUUCAUCUGGAAACAAAACAUAAUUAGCAAAGGUGAAAGAAGAAAUUGAGAUUACACAAGUAUGCAUCACAACAAAGUUGAGAUUACCUGAUUGUAAUCAUCACUUGAAUCUGAUGAAAGCCCUCUGCUAUGGUGAUCAUUGUUUAUAGAGCUGCAAAAUAAAAAUAAAACAUUUUAUAAAAUAUUAGAGAAAUAAAACUCAAGCCACUGCUAAAACUGAACUAAUUCAUCUGAAGGAAAACAAUGCGACUUAGCUCAUAUCAGAACAAGGUCAAGAUGGCAUGAAGGAUUAAUUGAACAAACAUAUUAUAUGUGGAACUGGAAGAUUUCAGACUGAAAACCAUUGACAUAAAAAUACUAACAUAGAUUGAUAUUGCAGCCAUUCAUACAAACUACAAUGGAAUCAAUAUCAAGAUACUGAAGAAUUCUAUUACUCGUCAGAUAUUGUAAUAAAAAUCAAUAAGUAUUAAGUAACCAACUUUUGGCAACCCCCAAUGCAAACAAUUCUUUAGAAAAAGAAAGGGAAGAGAGUGUCCUACCCAUUCCAUCUCAACUGUUGCUCUUUGUCCUCAUCAAGACUUCUAUGAUAACCAUUGGUUCCACUUCCAUCAAUCUCCCUAUUCUGAUCCAAACUGAGCACAUGACUCUCCCAAUCCUGAAUAUGGUCCCUGCUUUCUCCUCGCACAUUAUCCUCCACAUCUCUGUUAAGAUCUCUAUCCAAUGAGUAUUCCCCGGCUCUAUCAUGAUCAUGACGCUCGUAUCCUCUUCCUCUUCCAACAUCAUGGUCCCGAGACUGAUCAUGCUCUUCGGACCUAUCACUAUAUCGAUCCCGAUACCGUUCCCUAUCACGAUCAUGAUCUCUUUCUCUCUCACGUCCCCUAUCCCACUCACCCCGUCGAGAGCGGUCACGAUUGAAAUUCAAUCUGCCCCCUCUAGUUGUCACUUCAUUCACUCUCACAACUCGACCAUCGAUAGUCUAAUUAACAAUUUCAACAAUGUCAAGUUUCAACAAGUUUGAAAACAAGAAAGAACAAAAUCAUAGCAUGUUCCAUGGAACCAACAAGCAAUACAUACCCGGCCAUUCAUAUCAUUGAUGGCAUCAUAAGCUGAACGAGGAUUUGUAAAAGUAACAAAGCCAUAGCAUUUUCCUCUAGUUGUAUGAUCAUUAACAAUCUGCAAGCCAAACAACAACGGCACGCUUCAAUUUUUAAGAACACCCUAACGCUAGUUGAAGCAAAAAAAGUUUGACCAAACAGAACACAAACAUUUGCCUUAAAGAAACAGGGACAAACAUGAUUAACUAACUUACUACUAGAAACAAGGAGUUACUAGAAGGCAACAAUUUCAUCCCGGGUUUAUAUUUUCUAGUAAUCCCAAAUUGACUCCCAAAUACUAAUACUUGGAAACAUUUUUAAAAAAUAACAGUAAAAUUACUAGAGAUUUUCCAUCAACUAUCUUGCUGCUAAGCUAUUUGGAAAAAAAGAAAAGAAAAGACGGAAAAAGUUUAAAGAAUUAAGAACGAAAAACAGAAACCCUAAAUGAGUAAUAGAAAGUAAGUUAAACGAUGAAGAGUCAAUGCGUGGACUUGAAAAUUAAACGGACAGAGGAAGACCUUCACGGCGACGACGGCGCCGUAUAGGCUGAAAACACGGCGGAUAGAGGCUUCUGUGGCGUCGUAGGGGAGUCCUCCCACGUAUACCGAACUGUCGUCGUCGAUCGUCAUUUUUCCACUUUUACUCCAAACUAAGGCUUCUAACUUUUCAGGGUCUAAAGUACAGUGGAAAUAAAACUAAAAGGUUUUUCUAUCCAAAAUUGUUUAUUAUUUAUAUUUUUGAAAUACUUAUAUAUAUAUAUAUAUAUAUAUAUAAAGAAAAGGUAAGUAACAAAGAANCUAUAUAUAUAUAUAUAUAUAUAUAAAAGAAAAAAGGGUAAGUAACAAAAAGAAAUACCAUGUGGUUUACUUAACUACAUUAUGGUAUUUUCAGUUACAUUUUUUUAUAUUUUAAAAAUAAAAUGAUUAAAAUAUGUUUUAUUUCAUUAAUUUAAAUAUUAAAAAUAAAAUAAAAAAAUCUUUAAAAUUUUUAAAAAUAGACAUAACUGUGUUACAUAAAAAAAAAUCUAAAAAUACAUCAGAUAAUUAAAUGUAAAAUUUUAAACUUAAAGAUGCAAAUUAAUUCUACUUCAAACUACAACAUAUUUUUUUAUAAUUUAUUUUUUAAAAAAAGGGUUGAUAUAUGCAAUAAUUUUUGAAUACAGAUAUGCAAUAAUGUUACUACAAAAAAAUUUUCAAUAAAAUUAUAAACCUCAAUACAUAAUAAUAACAUAAUGUAUUUUUUUAAUUACAUUUUCAAAAUAUGUCCUAAACAUAAUUAGUAUCAAGUGCGAUAACGUCUUUCUUAAUUGAUAAGAGAGGCAAUAGUAGAUUAUAUUUAAAUGAGUCUAUAUUUGACAUAUUAUUGAUGUAUAAAUUUUAUACAUUAUUAACGAAUCAAAUGUUACAAGAAUUAAAAAUCAAAUAUUUUUAAAUUAUGAAUAUUUAUUUUUUAAAAUUUUUAAUUUUUAAAUUUAGUUAUUAAUAAAAUGAUAAUAUUUGAUUCAAUAAUACAUAAAAUCUAUACACUUACCCCACAUCUAUCUAAAUUUUAUUUAAAUUUGCUCACUAUAUAGUACCCUGUCAGCGAGAACAUUGCUCUUUUGGGCUUACUUUUUGGGCUAAGAAAACCACGUUAGAGAAUAAAAAUUAGGGUGAAGAGGUAACAAGAAAUUUGACACUCGAAAGGAAGAAAAAAUGAGAAAGUUUUGAUAGGAAGUUACUUGGUCGGUGGUCACUUUUAUAGACGUGUGAGUAUAUUGAUUAUUAUAUAAACAACAGGUCUGCUAAAUUGUUUAAGGAAUAGUUAUUAAUUCAAGGCUUCCUUUUUAUGUUCAAUGGAGCUGAACUGAGGGUUGUUUCAUGGGACCUUAAUGCUUUAGUGUAUCUCUGCUUGUUCUACAUUUGUCGUCCAACAAUCCUGUGUUUCAGCUUCAUUGAUUGCUGGUCUGUUAAUGAUUUUGCAGAAUGACUGUGGGCCUAGCUGAAGAAUGCUGUGAGAAAGAUUAGGAACAGAAUCAUUGGUUCAUGAAGAUUUUUGGACACUUGAAACAAAUGAUAUGGAAACAAAUCAUUGGUUCAAUGCAUCACCUACUAAUCAUUAAGUAUCCAUACAAUUCUACUGGCUCACAAUUUGGGUUCACAUUGACAGAUAUAUUGCGACUUUGAGUUUGAGUCAUUUUCUUGUUCUCAUGGUUGAAUUUUAUCCUUGAUGGAAAGUAAAAGUAAUGAAAGAAAUUCUUUUGUCACUGAAAAUAUAAUACUUUAGAUAACAUAACGGUCAAUAAAAUUAUAUGUAAUUUAUAACAUUUUAAUAUUAAUAUAAGAAUUUAUUUAAAUAAAAAUUGUAAAACUCUAUUAGCUCAUGUUAGCUUAGACCUUAAAGGCCUCGCUGUUGCAAGUUCAUUAGAGCUUUAAACGUUUUAUUUACCCGAAUUUGUCUAAUAAUCAGAUUCUGAGACCUUGGAACAUUAUUCACUGAGGAAACAUGGACACCAGCAUGUUACUGUAUGUUGUGGACGGUGGAGAUUUACUGGAUUCAUAUGUUGCUGAUGCUAUGCUUACAUGUUUGCAGAACUUGUCAAAUUUCAUCUUAGAAUCUUUGGUUGUCGGGUUCAGACACAAGCCUGUACUGUUCCUAAUUGAUCAAGUUUUUACGUGCUUGUCUUUUCCAUUUAAAAUUAGCACACAACAUCGUGAGCCGUUCUAUCCUAGCUACCUUAGCUGCAUUUGCAAAGUAGCUUCUUUUAUGAUUGGGUUAUAAUAGGAAUUAGGGAGGGGGCACCGCCAGUCUAAUUGCAGUAAUAAAGUUGAAAAGAGGUAGGCAUGGUGGCGAGUCACCUCAUCUGUUCUUUGUUUCUGUUCCUUUACUUCUUUUACUUUUAAUAGGGUAACAUAUCACUUAUGUGAGAUCAGGCAUAGUAUACUAGAUUUCGUGAUGAUAAAAUUACUUUAAGGUUUCAUCGGGAAAGAUAAGGGUAUAGGUUAAGUUUGAUAUAUUGUUAUGAAUAUAAUUAUUGAGAAUAUAAAUUUAUAAUAUUUAGUAAAUUAUAAAAAAGUGAUGGUUAUAAAAAAUAUAAUUAUUAAAAAAAUUAUAUUAUAGUAUUUGAUUUAAAAAUAUUUUAAUAAAAAUAUAAUAUAAAAUUACUUUUAUGUAUAAAAUUAUAAAUUUUAAAUAUAAUUUUAAGCUACUUGGCAUUUUCUUUCCCUUAUGAUUGCGAGAUCCAAACAUUUUUCUUUCUCAGAUUCUCUCAACUUUUUAAUAAAUUACUUCGAUUAUAAACUAUUUAAAGUGUUUCUCUUUCAAAUUUCGAUAUCUAAAAUACAAAUUUUUCUUAAACAUUUUUAAAAAUUUUAAAAAUUUGAGUUAAGGUUUCAUAAAACUUUAACAGUCUCAAUCUCUCCAAUUUUUUAAUUUAACAAAAAAUUUUGAUCCAAAUGUACCAAUAACUAACUACCCUUCCUACAAGUGGCGAGAAAAAAGAAAGAAGAAUAUAAUAGAAAAUUAAAAAGAAGAAUCGGAAGGUCAAGUUAAGGAAAAAAAAAUUUUUUACUUUCUUUUGCUAAAGAAAAAUAACUUUCUCCUUGUGAAAGUGAGAGAUGGGAAUUCAUUGCAAUCACAUUAUAAAUAGGAGAACUUUCUCAUCAUAAAACACUAAUCAAACAAUGUAAAGUAAUUCCCUAAAAUUUAAUUACAGGAAAUAUUCCUCGCUUGCCGUUUAGUAAACGCCCCCGUAGAGGUGGAGGAGCAACCAUUGAUUUGAGUAAAAGGUCCGAGGUCUCUGCAAGUUGGGGCAAAAAGCUAGGACUAAGAGGGAACUGCGAAAAGAAUGUACCAAAUAGUAGAUCCUAGGAGGACCUCGGAGAGCGGUGGACUCCUGACCUGACGUAUGAGUGCGUAAAGAACAGAGUAGAAGGGCCCGCCAGAUGGGCUAGGCGGCUAGGCCUAACUCUAGGUCGUUCUCCUUAGUCCUUAAAGGCCUAACCCAACUUUGAUGGACCUACUCUUUCUGUCUUUUGUUUAUUAAUAAUUUUGUUUGUUGAUACGACUACAUUAAAGCCUUCCAGGAAGAAUGACAGAGGCAGGCAAGCAGCGGUAAAAGAACAGGAGAGGAGAGCCAUAUGUAGAGGCAUGCAGUGGACAAGCAGAAGAAAAAAACCUUGCUGCAUUCCUGGCUCGGCAGCAAGGGUGUAAAUCAGAGAAAAUUUGUACAAUCCUGUAACCAUCCUGCGGUGUUAACAAGAUGCAUGUUUAUCUGAAUUACAUCACGGGAGAUAAUAUUCACUCAUUGUUUUUUGUUGGUGGCCUUCUUUUGACAAGAAUGAUGGAACAAAGUUACAAAAUCUUCAUCCCCAUUUUUUGCGCUCUCAAUGUUCCACGUACAAACAAAAGAGUGGAACAGUAUAAACAUGUAGCUGAUCUGGUUUUGGGGUUUUCUUGUCUCCACCACACAAUGAUUACAAAAUCUCUCAACCAGUCACCAGUCACAACAGUGUGGCAUUUCUUAUCUUAUCGUUGCUAGCAAAAGGAAUGUCGGUGAAAAGGGGGGAAAAAAAAGAAAAGAUGAAAGCUCAAAAAGUAAUAGGUAUUGCACGAAAUGUAAAAUGUUUUACCCAUCAUAGUAUUGGCAUCGAUGGUCUCGUCCCUUUCCUAGUAGAAACAGACAAACUGGAUUUGAAUUGUGUGGGUCUAAUCCUUAAUAAUGCUUUGAAAAGGAAAUCUUCUAGUCUUAAAAAAUGCAGGUUUUCCUUAUGAUUCUGAAUAUACCGGUGUAAGGGAGCAUCUUCCUCCCUGAUUGGCUAUGUGGUUAUGGUGGGAUCAAAUUACGACAACAAUUUUAGUCUUUCUAAGCAUUAACUUUUUAUUACUAUCCCAGCACAUUGCCGUGGUUGCUCAUCACUAUACUUUUUCAACAUUUCACAUGUCUCAAGUGGGGUUUCUUCAAGCUUUUUGAUGGAUCAUCUUCAAUGAAAUAGACUUAUUCAGGUGGAAGGAGGAAUGGGAGGGUGAUUUACAAGCAUAAUCCUAUUGUAGUUAUUCCACGAGAGCAAUUGGAAUUUAGCUCUUGGCUCCCACGAAUACAUGUGUGAUGCCAAUUGCAAACACUUCUGUUUGGGUGCUUGUCACAAAAUUCAAUGGUCCUUCAUCUCCUUUUAAACUCCAAUCCUUAAACCAAAAAAGGACAUAUUCAUUCCAUCUCUAUGCCCUAACCGAAUCUUGACAUUCUUUUUUUCUUUUUUCCUUUUUUGUUAUAAUAAGAAUUGGUGCUCAACAUAUUUCAAGCAGCUGACUAGUAUAAUAAUGGAAAUCAAAAUUAUUCUUCUCUAACAUAUACUGGUAGGCAUCAUGCCACAAGGCCAAGACCUUGCUUGUAAGAAUUGAAGCCCACUUCUCCCCUUAUUUUGUUUUUCUUUUCAGUUUUUAUUUUUCUUUCAAACAUAAGAAAAACAACAAGUAGAGUAUCUAUUAAUUUUGACAUACUCAUAUCUAAAUCCAAUUGUAAAAUCUAAUAUCUAUACCCUACUCAAACUCAAUUAACAAUAUCUUACUAAAACUCAAACUUAUUUAUUUAAUUAAAAAUAAUAUAAGUACUCGCUACACAACUCGAUUCAACCAGAAUUUAAUAAUAAAAAUACAAAUGAAUUAUUUUUAUUUUUUUAAGUUAAUUAAAAUUAAGUAAUAAAUUCAAAUUAAAUAUUAUACUUAUGAAAUUUAUAAAUUAAAAUAAAUAAUUUGUCAAUUAUAAAUAAUAUAACAAUUAAAAUAAAUUUUAAAAAUAUAUUAUUUAUAUUCCAGUUUAGAUAACAGAGACUCUAAAAUUGUUAUCUGUACCCUACCCUAAAUCGUUUAUAAAAUACCCCUAAUUUUAACUAAACAAAUUAAAUAAUACUAAAUUGCCAUUUACGUGAUACUCAUUGCCAAGUCACAUUUCAACGAUCUCUUACUUUUUCACUUUCUCUGCUUUUUAGGUUGAGAAAACUUUUUGGGUCUUUUAUUUUGACUGGGUUAGCCCGUCCAAUCUUUAGCCCAUCAUUAAUCCAAAAUCCGUCCUCACUUUCUCCAACUAUGGCACUAGCGCGCCAGCGGCUGCGCCCUGCUUCUAUUCAGAUUAAUUCAAAGGGGACUUCUUUUAUAAAACGUCACGUGAAUUGCACUGGGUCUAAAUCCAAUCAUGGAGAGUGUCACGAUUUUAACGAGGAGAAGUCGUGAAUUUCACAUAAAAGUUGUACGUUUUCACAAGAAAUACAAAAACAUUACACUUUUAACAAAGAGUCAUAAAAAAAUUUUUGAUAGGAGAAAAAAAGAUUUUUUAUAAGAUAAAAUUAUUAAGUCAACGAAUCAAAAUAAAUAAUAUCUUACAAAUAAGUGUGAAUUAUAACACAAAACCUCUCAAUUUGACCAACUCAGUUGCCUGGUGCAAUUUUUCUAUUUAAUUAGCUUACCUCCACUACUUAUUUGCAAUUCUGAAUUGAGCAUUGUUGUCUUCCAUGCAUCAUGAAGUAUUAUUCUUAGGCUUGGCUAAAGCUCUUUCUUAAAAUAACAUUUGGUAUGCAAAAAGUGAGAGUACAUUUCUUACAAAAUGCUCAAUUAAAUUGUAUUGUAAUAUUUAUUUUAUAACAAAUUAUUUUAAUAUAAGAUUGUAAUACAGUUCAAAAUUGCAUUGUACUCUGAAUAUUGUUAAAAAUAUAUUUGCCCCUCAAUGUUGUUGCUUUGUUCAAAACAUUUUAUAAUGUUAUAAUUUGGUUUUUUAUAUAGAUUUUGAGAAUAUCUUUUUAUUAUUCUCAAUAGUUAUAGAGACUAUUAAUAAAAUUUAUAUUAUCUUUUAAAAAAAUUAAAAUUAAAAUAUAUAAUACAGAAAUUAUGUUAAGAAAUAAAAUAAAAUAUAUAAGAUUACAAUAAAAAAAUAAAAUAUAUGACAUUAAAAAUAUAUUUAAAAUAUGAUAUUAUAUAAAAAUUAACAAUAAAAAAUACAAGUAUAUUAAACUUGCAUUUUAAUAAAUAAACAUAAUUCUAAAAAUUGACAUUAUAUUUUUAACAAAGUAUUUAUAAACCAAACGCUGCAAUGAUAUAUUUCUUAUAUUUUGAUUAUUAUUUUACUUAUAUACCAAACACUAUAAUGUUAUUUUUUCACAAUCAUAUUACAUUGUAAAGUAUCAAACAUUACUUAAGUGUUUGUAUGAAAUAUUUCAGAUCGAAAUUCCCGUUCUACUAUAGUUAAACCACACUUAAAUUAGCAUAUAUACAUAUUCCAAUGCUAUUCCCCUUUCAUGCAAGAUUUCUUGCCAACCAGUUUUAUUAUUAUUAUUUGUUGGAUCGAAUUUCAAGUACAAGUGACAAGUCUCCUGUUUUAGUCAAAAGAUCUUCAUGUACACUUAUCGGAAAAGGACUAAUUUCCAAGCAAUCCUACAUAUCUGCGUAAAGCAAAUUUGUAUUAUCAAAACUUUUGCUGAGUAGAGUUAUAAAAGUAAGCGCCCAAUUUAAUCAGAUGCAUGGUGUCGCCAUAUUCCAUUUCUGAUCCGAAAUCACUUCAUGCCAUCAGUUUUGUAGACCAUGUCAUGUUAUGACCAACAAGUUAGUACCAUGCUUUCCAAGUUGUGAAACGUUUUGCAGAGAGACCUGAGGAUUCUUUGAUAUAUAGGGCCAUCAAGAGUUUGAUGAACCUUCUCUAUACGACCAUUAGUACUUUGCCCCAGUUGGCAUGGUGAAAGAUUAAUUGAAUGUCACUUUUAUGUUAUGUAUAGCUAAGAACAAAAUCAAUACACUACAUAUGAACAAAGUAGUGUAUUCAUAAUUCAUAAAAUAAUUAAUUGAACAUAAUUAGGAUAUAUAAAAAUGAAUUAGCAAGUGAAAUCAUACUUUUGCUUGUGUUGAUAUUAGACGUCACAACCAAAUUCAUACUAUAUAUAAUUCACUGUCAAUUUGUCAAUUAUAAAUUUAUACUAUAUUUUAAUUUUAUUAGGAGGUGCAAAUCAAAGCUCUCUAGUUUUGCUCAAUAACAUAUUCUUACCCAUUUUGCACUAGUAUUGGUGCUAUAUAUAUAUAUAGAUUGGAUCUAACUUUGAUGCUUUUAAACACAUUAUACAAUCAGAUCCACCAAUCAUGUAGUCUUGAACUAAGGGAUAACACUAAGGAAAGAACGAGGAAAAGGAGCCUAUAGCUAAGUGCCAAUUAUAUAUGUAAUCUUGAACAAAGGAAAAAGACAUUGGAGAUGCAGAGGAAGGACGCUUAUGGAGUCUUGAAUUAAGGAAUAAGACUUUUUAAUUAAAAGAAAAAAGAAGUAAGGAAAGGAGCAUAAAGAAGAACAUUAUCCAAAUCUUAUGGUAUUAUUGUGGGUAGUUAUUUGUCAUGCAAAGCAAAUCAAUCAUUAUAACAACUGUUGAAGAAGUUGGAAUCAACAUGACGCAAACCACUUUAGGGGCUGAUGAUUACCUAUUCAUUUUAUAUAUGAUAAGAAAAUAAGGCUUAAAUUCGAGUUUAAGCUGUCCAACCUCAAUCUUUUCUCCCCUAAUUGCCGCCAUAGAAAAGCACUCACCCGGAAAGAAAAAGAAACAAACGAAAUUUGCCCUACGGGUCGAUGUAAAUAGUAGUAUACAUUUUUUGUUGGCUAUGUAAUUAUAUGUUUUUUCACUUGUAAAUCCAUAAUUCAUCACGUAAUGCUACUCAGUAGUAGUAGUAGUAGUAUAUAAGAGCCUCGAAAGGAGAACCUGCCUUCUAUCCUUUUUUAAAGACCCAACUCAACCUUUUGCUUUACACCUCUUACUCUCUCUGUCUCACAUACAUAUCAUCCUCAUCUCUCUCUUUUCUCUUUCUCUUUCACCGGAAUCUCAAAUUCCGGCCACAUAUCCACCCCCCAGAACCUGACACACUCUCUCUUUUUUUCAUCAAUUAUUCAACGAUCUUUUCUUUAUUCAUAUACGUCAGAUCUUCAAGGAUUAGAAAUAAAAAACCAGCUUGGAAAAGCACUGAAAGCCUUGCCACAGAGAUAGACUAGUCCACCAACACCCACCACUACCUCUGUUAUCUUUCCUUCUCGGUCUCAGAGUAUGGAAUCUUACACCUUUUAUCGAUUUGUUUUAGUUUAUUUUUAAUUGGUUUAAUUUCAAACGUUAGCUUUGCUAUGCUUUUUAUUCAAAUCCCAUUUCUCUUUUGCUGUUUAUAAAUGCAAAAGUUCAUCAGUUUUUAUCAGUUGCACGCUUUCAUGCUCGAAGAAAGAAAGAAACAAAGGCCUAAAGCUCCCCCCAUCUCAGAAAGCUAUUUCCCACACUCUUUCUCGUUUAAAGUUUCCUUUUCUUAAAGGUGGUGAGUGUUUGCUGAUGGAUGGAAAGCUGAGAAUCAUUAUUAUAAUAAUCUAAGGAAAGAAACCAUUCCCAAAAAUACUCGACCCCCCAUAAUCUUUUCAUACCCCUUCUUCACAGCUUGCGCUUCCCUGGUAUAUUCGUGUGCUUCGUUUUCCAAGAAAGACAUUCUUUCUUUUCAGCAACAGUUUUUAAUCAAGUUUCAUUAUUUCAUCCCUGAAAAAAAAAAAACACUCUCUUUCCUGGAGCUUUCCUCCUUUCAACUAUUAGCAAUAUCAUGAUUAGGUCAGGAUUUCCUUCUAAGAUCAAGUUUUUUUUUUUGCAAAGUGCCACUUCAUUAACUCUGAAAUGGGUAUUAAGCUUUCAAACUCUCUCUUUGGUUUUGACUCAAACCCAUGCACAUUGUUGAUCUUGCUUUACUUUGACAGCUUGUGCUUUAAUGUCCAUAUCUCUUGCAGGCAGUUUUACUUUUAAUCUCAUGCAUUAAAUCUCUCUCUCUUUCUUUUUAGGUCUCUAGAUCUUGUCUUUAAUUUGUUAUCCUCGUACAUUUCACCUCCUAGGGUCCAUGUAUCUUCUUUUUUUUUUCACAAUCUUUCGACUUUCAUAGCUCACUUACCCAAAAUACUCACUAUCCAGCACCUACAAAACUUGCCGACCACUAGUAUACUACUAUACCAAGGACCCCAAAUUCCAUGUGGCACCAUUUCAUCUGCUUUCCAUGUCUCUGAUAUCUGAAUCUUUAGCCAUAGUACAGUAAAGAUUUGGCCUAUGCUACACAAAACCCGUUUCUCUUACUUUGUAUAGCUAUAUAGCCGCAGUUUGCUGCACAUAUAUCUAAGCUUUGCCAAUAUCUCCAGCCCUGAUCUUUCUUUCUGUCACUAAAUAAUCGAUCAGCACUUAAAAAUAUAUUCUUUGCAGAGUAUGGGCGCUGGAAUUUCUGGUUGUUGAGAAAGCUGAUGAGGAAAUAACCGCAUUUAUUGCUAACGUGAUGUUCCAUAAGGAAACGUAAAAGCAAAAGGUUCGUUGCAGAUUCACCCUACUUACCCUCCCUCUCUCCUUCAAUAACUACUAUCGGCGUUUUUACAGACUUUUGCUUUUAACCCCUCAAGGAGGAAAGUACAAAACUUACUCUCUAGUCUAUAUCAACUAUAAUUGUUAAGUUGUAUAUUUGUUUUUCAUAGCAUUUAGGAGUAAAAAGACAGUAAAAGUCGGAUAAAAAUAUACGAGUUAAAUUUGGAAAUGAAAAUAAAUAUAAUAUUUAUCCUUACUCUUUGACUUGCUCUCUCUCUCUUUCUCUCUGUUUCCUCUCUUUCCAUAUCUACGUUUCAUGAUUGCUAUGGAUGUUGGUAUGGCGCUUGGCGUUUGAUUCUCAGCCAUAUCUGCGUAGCAGAGGAGAAUUACGGAUAUUCCUCUUUGAUACAUAGCCAUCACCUAGGAGAAAAAAACAAAAGGUGUGGGUUUUUUUCUUUCUUGUUUUUUUAAAGGGAAGCUAUCCUUUUUGGUCAUAUUUCGGCUGGUCCUAAGCUUUUUCUCCUCACUUUUCUUUUUCGUGAUCAAUAGUAAUGGUUUUGUUAGUGCUUUGAGCUUUUCGUUUGUUUUUUUUGUCUUACCUUUUUAAUGUUUUUCUCUUUUUAUCGUUUUGUAGACAAUCAUAUGUUUUGAGGAUCGACAAUGUUGGCUAAAUAUCUUGUCAAUAUAUAUAUAUAUAUAUAUAUAUAUAUGUUUAAAUUCAUAGGUAGUGACAUCGGUUUUGAUGCACAAUGAAGGUAUAAUAUACUAUAAAAAUGUGCAGAAAUUGAGAUAUAAUUGUUCCUAUUAAUUAUGGAAACAACAUUACUUUUUAAGUAAAUUGGCCUUUUUUUGCCUUAAAACUUUCAACGAGUGUUAAAAUUUAAACUCUUACCAAAGCAAAGAAUAGGGGGAAUUGUGGGAAUUUCUAUGAAAGAACAUAAACCCAAAGAUUAGGAAAAAGAAAAUUUCAUGAAAAAUGUACCUAUAAGUAAAGUCUAUAGAUGGUGAUGGUUGUAGAAUAGGAUUGGCAGUGCCUGCCUAGUGAUUCUAAAACCCAAAAAAGCCAAAACCCCUGUAUUAUAGUCAAUGAAUCUUGUUCUGAAGGGCAGCUCCACGACACAACUGUACUGCUUCAUGCAGACAGCUUGGAUUAUCUGGGAGACUGUCAUUUUUGACUUGGAUUUUAUUACAAAGAUAGUACAACUAUUGGCUAUUUCUACUUACCUUUUUUCUUUUCUUUUCCUGCAAAAUUUAAAGUAUAUAUGAGUAUAAAUGGUACUACUCCUUAAUUUGUUGUGAUUUCAAGUUCAGUGUUUCCAUCGCUUAGACCUAAAGAUACUUUAAACUCUUGUAUGUUCCCUUUAGGUCUUUAUACCUUUCUAAGUAGAUCAAAUCAGACUGCUAUAAUUUCAUGUUGUUGGGUUCUUCAUUUGCUUGGUUCAGCUAGCUGUCUGCCUGUACGCUUUGGGCUGAGCUCAGGUGUACCUUAAGCUUUUUUUUUCUUCACACUCUGCAAUUUUUAAAAAGAAAAGGCCCCUUUGGGUUGGUAAAGUUGCCUGCAUUUGCAACCAAUUGUUUGUAGUUUCAAAACCCUGUAAAUUCCUGGGGUUUAUGAAAUUCAGAAUCUUGAAACUACUUUUUCAUUGUGAAAUCAAAUCAUAAUUUAGUUUCCCGAAUGUGAGAUUUCUUGUUCCUUUUCUUUUCAAAUAAUUAUUUGUGUAAUUGUUUUUCCUUCAAUGGGCCAUACAUUUGAGCCCAAGUAUUAGCUAAAAUAAGAGUUGAGGUUGGACCAUUUAUCUCCACUGAAAGGAAAGGGACAUGUCAUUUGAUUGUUCUUCAUGUCUUGUAAUAAUCCCACGGUUGGUAACUAUUGCAUUUAUCCUCACGUUCCAAAUUUUCUAUGCUGAAUAUAAAUGCCUCCCUGCCAGAAAAAGGUGCAGCUGACAAAUUGCAGCUAAACUUAUCCCAAAGCAAAAGCGAAAAAAGUUCAGAACAAUACAAUGUGUCCGGUUAAUAAACAACAAGGAAAACGACAUAAGCUGCAAAGUAUUUGAGGACUUUACUGCUUUGUUUUAGGGUUGAGCCAAGAGUUAUCCGAAUCUACCAGUUUUUAAGCCUAAUUGUUACUACUGUUAUCCGUUUGAGGCGCUGAUUUUCCUAUCUGUUGUGUUUCUGUUCUGUUCUUUGUGUGCUGUCUGGUGCUUAUGUUUAGUCGCUGUUGGUGGGCUUUGGGAGGAGUUAAAGCUCCUUUAUACUCCUCUGAAAAAAGCAGUUUAUACAUGCUAGAUUACAAGCUGUCCCGCAAAGAAGUUGGAGAAAAAUACAGCCUUCAAUGCCACUAGGACCACAGGCGGCACAAUUGCCGCUAUGAUCAGGAUUAAACCCACAAUGUAAAAUUGUGGUCCUUCUCACUGAACUAUGUUUUACUUCCACUGGAGAAGCUGAUCCAAAUUCUUCGUUCUUUUUUUCCCUUUGAGUCCUAAUAUUGAAAGCUAAGAUGAUUCCACAGGGAGAGGGAGGGAAGAUAUGAGAAACCAUACAUGUAACAAUGGCUUCACAGCUACAUGGUAUAUAACAUUAAAAACCAUGGAGAUGGCGAAAGCUAGCUGCAUAUUUUUGUUUGCUAAUGGAAAUGUGCUUGUUUUUGUUUUUCAUGAACUUGUUUAUGAACUUUUCAUGAGCCGACAAAUGGCUUGUGUAUGAACUUGUCUUUAACUUCUUUCACACUUGGUAAUUCUUUGUUUCUUUGUUCAUUUCUUUUCAUGGUUGGAGGUUUUUCUGAAUCUUUGCUCCGUGGAUUCUUGCUUUUUUGCAUGUUUGCAUGUCUCUUUUGGUCAUCCUAUUCAGAGAAUAUGCAGAGCUAUAGAGUAAAACACUAUCGAUAUUUGAUGCUAUAUACAUCUCCUCUUUCUUUUCUUUUUCUCUUUCCCUCCUUUUUUUAGCUUGCUGCAACCGUUACACUGCUUCGUGUUUUCCCAUUUGUUUUCACGGUUCUCUAAAAACCAAUCCCUUAUGGUAAGAUUCUCGCAGAAAACGUGUACAAUGUUAAGCCAUUACCUUUCAAAGGUAGUUUUUUGAGUCAUCACUUUGUGAUCUGUCUCGUCUUUUGGUGAACCCUCUCUCUCUCUCUCUCUCUCUCUCUCUCAUUGAGAUAGAAUUACUUAAAUCAACUAAUUGAAUAUUGUUUGUUCUACAGAAAUGCCUCACAUGCAUAUGAGAGACCUGAAGGAGAACCAUGUGGUGUCAAGGGAACCUCUAAAGAGUUCCAUGAAUCAGAAGAAAUCACCCCAAAUGAUCAUCAAAAGUGGGGAUAGAUUUGAAGAUGGCAAGAAGAGUCUGGGAAGGAAAAAUGGAAGGAGAAGAGUCAGAGGACAUAAAGUAGAUAGGUUACAAGAUGCAAAGCUUGAGUCAAGCAUGGGUUCUAUUCCAUGCAAGAGCCUUAUGUUCCACAGAAGGCCUGGCUAUGGCCAGUUGGGAACUAAGUGUAUGGUUAAAGCCAACCAUUUUCUUGCUGAGAUACCAGGUUCUGACUUGAGUCAUUAUAGUGUAAGUUUUGCUCUAUUUAAAAAAAAAAUACUACUAAUGGUUAACUAGGUGAAAUGCUGAGACUUAGGUUUGACAAUUUAUUGUUGUGUAAUGUUUCUUGGAACAGGUAGAAAUAAACCCGGAAGUUGCUUCUCGUAAACUGAACAAAGCUAUUAUGACAGAGCUAGUUAAACUUCACAGAAACAGCGACUUGGGGAUGAGGCUUCCUGUUUUUGAUGGAAGGAAAAACCUAUACACAGCAGGAUCACUGCCUUUUACCUCUAAGAAGUUCAAUGUAAUAUUGGCUGAUGAUGAUGAAGGAACGGGCAAUGCUAGGUAAUUCAUCCAUUAAAACUGGUUCAUACUAAUUUUCUCCUUAACUGGUUCACUUUAAUUGGAAUAUAUCCGUGAUCUGUUUCAACUACUGAAGGUUUUGAUGCAAAUACUGCUAAUUUAAUCAGGAGAAGGGAAUUUAAAGUGACAAUAAAGUUUGUAGCUCUCGCUAGCAUGGCACAAUUGAGCAACCUGCUUUCUGGGAUUCAAGUUGAUACCCCUCAAGAAGCCCUUAAUAUUAUCGAUACUGUGUUAAGGGAACUUGCGGCUCAAAGGUGCAUCUUAUUUGUUUUAACUUUUUCUUCUGUUUCUUUUGUGAGGUAUGAUCCCACUGACAGCAGAUUCUAACUUGUCAUAAUCUUUAUUUCGAUGAAUAUAGGUACAUAUCAGUUGGAAGGUUCCUUUACUCUCCUCAUAUCAAGAAACCACAAGCACUGGGAGGUGGCUUAGAAUCAUGGCGCGGCUUCUACCAGAGUAUAAGACCUACUCAGAUGGGAUUGUCACUGAACAUUGGUAAAAUCCUACUAGACAUUCUCAAUUGAUAGAAGCAUUGCUUUUAUCAGCCUUUUUUUUAUGCUGGAAUCCAAUAGUCUGCUUUGUUCUUAUCUUGUCUUUUUGUGUUAGAUAUGUCAACGACUGCAUUCAUUGAACCACUACCUGUCAUUGAUUUUGUUGCUCAAAUUUUGGGUAAAGAUGUGUAUUCAAGGCCAAUGUCAGAUGCAGAUCGUGUUAAGGUAUUGUACUGUGUGGCUCAUGAUGGCUUCCCUCCUUGCAAUGCAUAUAAACAUCGUCAUUGUUGGCAUUCUUGAAAAUUAUAAGUAGAUCCUGUAGUUUAACAUUCGAACACUGUAGUAGUUAUAACACAGGUUGCAAAAUCUUCACCAUCUCCAGGUAAGGAUUGAAAUUCUGAACUGCAACUUAAAAACAGGAGUUUGUUGCAUCCAAACCAGAUUUAUAAAUUCAAUUCCCAAGGCCGUGAUGUAACCCUCUUGCUAUUUACAUCUAGUUCCUGAUAGAGUGAUAGUGGUCAAUUUCAUUUUGCCUCAAAUGUUGUGCAAACUCGGAUACCAUUAUAUGACAUAAAAAACCAUAAUGUCAAGUCCUGGUAACUGCUUCAACAACAUAUCCAUGUUUCUUCUAACGUUUGAGACAACACUAUGGUACUUUGCCACGUAGCUAUAGUCUAAUGGCAUUCUCAUCACUAUUCAUUGUAGGCUUUUAGCUCUGACAGCUUCUUCUGAAAUCACAUUAACAUGUAGGAAGUUUAUAUCUAUCCUUCACUUAGACUGGCAAAUUGCAAUUUAUCUUUUUGGGAAUGUUUUUUAGGUUAAGAAAGCCCUCAGAGGUGUAAAAGUGGAAGUGACUCACAGGGGAAAUGUACGCAGAAAGUACAGGGUUUCAGGGUUGACAACUCAGCCAACAAGGGAGCUAAGGUAUAUUUUUUCUUGAACUUGGCCUCCUGUUUCUCAAAUUUGAAAGUUUGUCUUUGCUUCUUCCUGGAAAUUAAAUUUUUUUUGUUUUCCUUUCAUCAGUUUCCCACUUGAUGAGCAUAUGAACAUGAAAUCAGUUGUUGAGUACUUUCAAGAGAUGUAUGGAUAUACAAUUAGAUAUGCACACCUACCUUGCCUUCAAGUAGGAAAUGAGAAAAAGGUGAACUACUUGCCCAUGGAGGUAUGCAUUGCCCAAUUUUCUUUAAGCUUGUAUGCAGCAUGGAGGGUUCCAACCAACGUAAUAUAAAUCCUAUCACAGGCUUGCAAGAUAGUUGAAGGACAGAGAUAUACAAAAGGGCUGAAUGAAAAACAGAUUACUUCUCUGCUAAAAGUUUCCUGCCAAAGACCUCGUGAACAAGAAUUGGAUAUCUUACAGGUCUAAAGCACAGUUCCUUGGAUUAUUUGGUGUCUUUUUCGAAUAAACAGAUGAAUAUAAAACUUAAAGAAUAUUGUAUAGGCUACUUUUAGUUAAUUGCUUUCUUGCUGUGUUGUUUUACUUCAGUCACUGAACCAUAGCAGAUAAUAAUUAUAUUCAUCAACAUGGAAAUUAGCAAGUUGUCUUAUUUGUCAUCAUAGUAAUAAAGGAUAACAAUAGCAAGGUGGAUGAAAUUAGUGUGCAUUUCAGUUUUUGCCUGCCUGGAGAAAACAAUGAUGACCUAAAAGUUUUUUGGUGUCUUUACAGACAGUUCAUCAAAAUAAUUAUGAUCAAGAUCCUUAUGCAAAAGAGUUUGGCAUCAGCAUAGACAGCAAGCUUGCAUCAAUUGAGGCUCGGGUUCUUCCUGCUCCAUGGGUAAUGUUGAAGUCACUGUUAAUUCUUUUUUUUUUCCUUCUUUCUUUCUGGCAGUCAUUGUCAAUUCUUCUACAUGAUACAGCUUCUUACUCUCUAACAUUUUGUUCUUUUGUCCUCUUUCUUUCUAAAGCUGAAGUAUAACGAUACUGGAAAAGAAAAAGAAUAUUUGCCUCAAGUUGGUCAGUGGAAUAUGAUGAACAAGGUUAGUCUAUGUCAAGGUGUGAAAGAUACCAAGACUUCACCCGAAAUGGCAUCCUUAUAUUUUACUCCAUGUUACUUCUAUCUAAAGAAGGGCAAUUCUUGUUGCUUUGCUGCAGAAAGUGAUAAAUGGAAGCACUGUAAGAUACUGGGCUUGUAUCAACUUCUCACGAAGUGUUCAGGAGAGCACUGCUCAUUGUUUUUGUCAGGAGUUGGUUCAGAUGUGCCAAGUCUCUGGCAUGGUGAAUCUUCCUGACCUUUUUUUCGGCUAAAUUGAAUGCUAUCUCAGCAAUUAUCUAUAGUAUUGCUUCCAAUAACUGAGCAAAAAAAAAUAGUAUUGCUUCCAAUAGUCUCCUUCAAUGCCUGAACAUCAAUUGGACUUUAUUUCAGGAAUUUAAUCGAGAUCCUGUAAUUCCUAUAUAUUCAGCAAGACCAGAUCAAGUUAAGAAAGCACUGAAAUAUGUAUAUCAUGCUGCUGAAAACAAACUUGAAGGAAAAGAACUGGAAUUACUCAUUGCCAUUCUUCCAGACAACAAUGGCUCUCUGUAUGGUAUGUUCCACCUUGCAACUAUAUAUCUGUACACUCAAUUUGAUUAUGUUUAGCUGGAUAAUAUUGUAUGAAUACAGCCUGCAUAUAGAGGUAUAUACAUUAUUAAUAUUUAAAUCAUUAAUUUUUAAACAUCAUCUUCAAGCUUUAACUCUUUCACUCUGUUUAAACAGACACCCUCCCGCUGUUGAGAUUAGAUAUGCCGCUUUUGUUUUGACUAUGAGUAAUUUGUUUUGCAUUCAGGUGAUCUUAAACGAAUUUGUGAAACAGAUCUGGGUUUGAUUUCUCAAUGCUGCCUCACAAAACAUGUCUUCAAGAUUGGCAGACAAUACUUGGCAAAUCUCUCCCUUAAAAUAAAUGUCAAGGUCAGUCAUAACUGAAUGAUCUGUUCUCUUAACUAAUCAUGAUCACAGAAAUUGUUAGGUAAUGAUUUAAUUUGCAUUGUUCUUCUUUAAAUCAAGACUAUUUCUCAAGAUUUUUAUUUUUUAGAUGGGGGGAAGAAAUACUGUGCUCUUAGAUGCUUUAAGUUGGAGAAUUCCUUUGGUUAGUGACAUUCCAACAAUAAUAUUUGGGGCUGAUGUAACUCAUCCAGAAUCUGGAGAGGACUCUAGUCCAUCUAUAGCUGCUGUAAGUAAGUUGAAUCCUGUAUGUUAAAAGCUGAUAACAUGUUGCUCCUUAGCCUUAAUGAUUGCUGGAAUGCAGGUUGUGGCCUCACAAGACUGGCCAGAAGUGACAAAGUACGCUGGACUGGUAUGUGCUCAGCCUCAUAGGCAAGAAUUAAUUCAAGAUCUGUUCAAAACCUGGCAGGAUCCUCAACGGGGAACAGUUACUGGAGGCAUGAUCAGGUUUGUUCAUUUAAGAUUAUUUCAGCCCAUCAAUCACUUAUUUGGUAUGGAGUCAUAUAGAUGAAGUCAUAAUUCCAAGUCAUAGCUUGUUGGUCAUCUUGAUCAUCUUCAACUUUGUCUUAUAUGAACAAACUGCCCGAUAAAUUUUGAGACAAUGGAGUUUAAAGUUGUGAACUACGUCAGUACGUGGUGGUGCCACAUUAAGUGGUUCGACUUGAGUUUGGUAGUGGACUCAGUUUACGGUUUUAAGGUCUCUAGAUGCAUUAACAUGGUCAAUAUCAAGUUUCAAAAGCUUUCCUGGCUAAAAUUUCAUUCUGCAAAAGCUUGCUUACUUGAAAACCAGUCUUUUUUGAGGUUACUGCAUGCUUUUUUUCAUCAUAUCAUGUCCUCCCAUGCUCUGUAACACUUAUUAGGUAACGAGGGUGGAUCCAUUCCGUGCAUUUUUUAUUGAUGUGCCAAUAUACUGAUGGAAAUUUAAAUAAAUUCAUGGUCAUGCAGGGAGCUCUUACUUGCAUUUAAGAAGGCCACUGGACAAAAGCCACUGAGGAUAAUCUUUUACAGGUCUGCCAGCUAUGACUUGCAAUCUUUAGUUUCAUCCUGAUAAGUUUAUUUAUUUAUAUUAGAUGAGAUGGCAAACAAAAAAGACUAAUUUACACUUAAUGAAUAGCUACGCUUCAAACUAUUUUAGUUCAAAGUUUUCUGAUGUCCUCCAAAAUUUGUGUAGAGAUGGUGUCAGUGAAGGCCAGUUCUACCAGGUUCUACUGUAUGAACUUGAUGCCAUACGGAAGGUUGGUUAACAUAAAGACAUAUUGUGCUUAUUAACUAUGUUAAUCCUAUGCUUAUACUGUGGUUAUGUGCAGGCCUGUGCAUCACUGGAAUCUACUUACCAACCUCCAGUUACAUUCAUUGUGGUUCAAAAGAGGCAUCACACUAGGCUGUUUGCAAGCAAUCACAGUGACAGAAGCAGCACUGAGAAGAGUGGGAAUAUAUUACCUGGUAAAAACCAGUGCUUUUUGUUCGUUCUGGGAUUCAUGGUUCGCUUAAGUAAAAAUUGAGAACAUAAAUGGUGUCUCCAGUAUCUAGCCAAUUCCUUUCGAAAGAAACUAGGAUUUCUGGAUAAAAAUAAACAGAUGACUACUUAAAACCUCUUUCUGAGUUUAUCAAUCGAAUUCCAUCAUGAGGUAGCUAGCUUUUUCCAUCUAUAAUUAAAAAAUGUUAAGAUAAAUAUCUACAUGAAGUUUCCAAAUGCAGGGACGGUGGUGGACUCUAAGAUCUGUCAUCCAACUGAGUUUGACUUCUAUCUGUGUAGUCAUGCGGGAAUCCAGGUAUGGACUAUAAUCUUAGAGGUUUUUGCCUUAUGGUUUUCAAAUCAUAAUGUGUGAGGAAAGUUUGGCAUUACAAGCCCUGCAUAUUAAACAUGUUUACCUUCAAACCGGAAAUUGACAGGGGACAAGUCGACCUGCUCACUAUCAUGUUCUGUGGGAUGAAAAUAACUUCACAGCAGAUGAGAUCCAGUCUCUGACCAACAACCUCUGUUACACGUAAGAAUAUUGAUUUGUUUAAUGUUACAUGUUGCCUUUCCAGUUAUCAUGAUUCAAAUUAAUGGAUCAUUUGAUUGCAGGUACGCUCGGUGCACUCGAUCUGUUUCUGUUGGUAACUCCUAAUCUACCACUUACAUGAUUACUACAUCCAUUAAUUUCCAAAUUAUCUCACAGCAUGAUUACACCAUCUGUUUCUGUUGGCAAUAGUGCAGCGGAGUGUGGUAAAUUCUGUAAAAGUAUGAGAAAUCUGUAAUGUAUAUUUGCUCUUUACGUAUGCAGUGCCUCCAGCAUAUUAUGCUCAUCUAGCAGCCUACCGAGCUCGAUUCUACAUUGAACCAGAGGCAACCGAAAAUGCUAAAGGGAGAUGCACACGCACGAGCAAUGGAUCAUCUGUCCGGCCCUUACCAGCAUUGAAAGAGAGGGUGAAGAAUGUGAUGUUUUACUGUUAAAACAGGAGGAAGAAGCUGAGAUGAUACAGAGACCAAGGUGAAAGGGAAACUGUAAACAACAUAUGUACAUUUGUUGUGUUUAUAUUGUAGAGAGGAUUGUGCAUUGAAAAUUUUGAGAACGCAACAAGCAGCUUUUCUAACUGACUGUAACAGUUAACAGAAGAUUAACAAAAUUGAGUUUAGAUGCAUAUAUAAUAGUUUGUCUACCAUUCUAUAUCUAAACGCAUAUAUGAAGGCAGCCAAGUCUUUUCAGUACCAAGUUUAGGCAAUGCUACCUUAUAAAAGAAUUAUCGAUAAGAUCUCUUUUAUUAUAAUCUUUACUAAUGUGUAUUUUCACCUUAUCAUAUUCUUUAUAAAUUUUAUGUAUUAAUAAUUUUCAAUGUCAUAUUCCGAUCAAUGUACUAUUAAUAUAAAUACUAUAAUAUUACUAUAAAUAAUAUAAUUCUAAAAUAAUUUUAAAAAAAUACACUGGUUAGAUUUUUAAAAUCCAACUGUUUUGUGAAAAUCUUUUGAAUAUAUUUUUCAAUAAAAAACAGUGUAGUGAUUUUUUUAUUGAGCACCGUAUAUAAUUUAUUUAUUUAUUUAUUAUAUACAAAGUUCAAUGUAGUAAGGUAUAAUCUUUAAGUAUAGCAUCACUUGUUGACAACACCAAAAUCAUAUAAAUAUUAAAUAAAAUAUACUAACUUCUCAAGUCUAAAUUAAUAUAUAAUAAUAGAUUUCGCUUUAACUAUGGACAAUGAUAAGAUUAUAUGAUAUUGUAUGUAUCUCAAAACUAUACCCAUUUAUUUACAUUAAGGCCACUACCCCAAUAAUAGAGUCAAAACAUUUUGUUACAUCUUAUAAUCUAGAACAAUUAUGAUAAAUAAAGAAUUGAAGUACUAUAUAUAACUCCAAGCUUAAUAAUUCAUUAACUAAUUACAUAAAUUUUCUGCAAUACAACCAAAUAAUAUAGGAUCAUACCAUAUUUAGUUUAAAUAAAUAAAAAAUGUAUUAAAACAUAAAAAAAAAUAAUUAAUAUAAUUAUUUAUCUAAUAAAAGAAAUAAUAAAAUCGGUUUUAACAGCGUGCUAUUAAGAAAUUCCCGUCACACAAUUUUGUACUUCGGAAAAAGCCAUCUGGCACGAGAUAACAGCAUGGAAGUUUGAGCAUGUGACUGGUGUCCUUGCAUCUUUCUUUGCUUUUUUCUUUAUAAUGUAUAACUCCCAUUGAAGGAUAAUAAUUAUUUCAUUAGGUGAAACUUGGGUUGCUAAUAAGCCAGGAAACCUGAUGACUGAUAUAAACGAGAAGCUGACUAAUUAAAGACCGGCGGAUAAAGUGAGAAUCAACUGCACAGAGCUCAUGAAGUAUCCCAAGGGUACUUCCUCAAGGAAAAUUGAGGUCUAAAAACAUUCAAGACUUGGCUGGGACGAAAGCAGGUUCAGUGGAUGAUAAGUCUUAAAGGUGACUGAGACUAAAGGGUGGUUGUGAGAGGGUAAAAAUACUUAGCUUUAUAUUAAAGUAAUUUGGUUUUUGGACCUCAAUCUGUUAUACUUCAAAGAAAUGCUACUUUAACCUGAUAGUUUGAGACUCCAUUUCCACCGGAGAAUUUUCUUGCAGGUUUCAUCUGAUUUUUCAUUGUCGAAUUACCAAAAAGCUAGAAUCUGGUUUAAAACUACAGUAACUAUAGCCACUGGCUUCAUGUUACACUGAGCCAUGACAAAUUUAAAGCACCAAACCAGAAUACCCUACAAGCUGGUUUCCAAGCUGAAAAAUCAACCACAAUACAUUUUUACUGUUCUGGGACGACUUUUGAACAAAUGAUAGCUGUCUUAUAAUUCAACGUAAACAUCAACAUUCGACAGUUGAACAAGUUUGAAAAUUGAUGCGAGCUGAAAGGAACACCACCAAUGUAUAGCAAACAUCACAGUGUCCCUUUCGUCUCCCAGAUUCUCAACCGCAAAUCUGAAAUCAAAAGCAUAUAUCGUUGUCACUGACCCAAAACGCUGUAAAAAAGAAAAAAACUUGCUGGGUCAGUUUGGAAAUAUGAAUAAAUCUUCUUCAAGUCUUCAACUACCCACCCUUUUCCUGAAAGCAGAUAGAUGAUAAACCGAUUAAUGGUUUAAAAAGUUUCAAUUUGAAAGGGGGCGUGAUGAGGUGCUAUCCUUUGUAUGGUGGAAACGAUUGUUACAAGCUACUGUCAUUGCAUGUCUCAAUCCACAAAGGUUGCUGUCUUUCUCAGUAGGGAAGAGUUCAACAUCCAUGCCUUAUGCAAUUACGUGUAUGUUGGCUUGUUGAUUUGAUCCUUCCCUGGUCAAUGACAAGAAACUGGAAUCUAGACUUCUCACCCUUCCCCAUUUAAUCCAUUUUCCAUCCUUUAGUCCUGUUAAUUAAUUAAUUGUUUAAACACACACACACACACAAAAUGCUUUUGAAAUUAUAGAGUUGAGACCACAUUUAAGGAGAUGAAAGAAAGUUAGAGCAGCCCCCAGCAUUGACUACCGAGGUGCUAGUGAUUGAUUAUUGAAGUUUAUAACAAUCUCCUUGAGGUUUGGUAGAAAAUACACCCCUCUCUUGAAAAAGUUAUGUUGUUAAUUAUUACAGUUAAUUUUAGACUAAAAAACAAGCAUACCCUCUGCUAAUUACUUUUUUUCUCUUUUACACGAGACCUUUUUUUAACUACAAAAUUAUGAGAUCUAAUUAAUUUUAAAAUUAAUUUUAAUUAUUAUGAAAGUAAAUUUUAAUUACUUUAUAUAUUCUAAUCCAAUUACAUAUUAAACUUAUAUUUAAUUCAAUAAUAUAUCAACUUUGAGAAAGAAUGUAAGAAAUUAUCUUUAGUUAAAAUAAAUUAAUUACCAUUAAUUUGUAAAAAAAGGUUUAGUGAUAAAGAGAUGGAUUAAAUAAAAAAUAAAAAAGGAGGGAACAGUAGAAAAAAUAAAUAUAAACAAAAUGUGAAAAUUUUUAGUAUUAAUUCAAAGAAAACUUUGCAAAAAUGUUAGUUUGACUAAUGUUAUUCUAAUAUCAGUUACUUUUUUAAGAAAGAUAAAAAAAAUGUUUUUCAAACUAAUUUGAAAAAAAAUAUUUUCAUAAGUAUUUUUUUCUAAUAUAAUUAUAUAAUUUAAUAUAUUAAAUUUGACGUGAUCAUAAACUAAAUUUGAUAGUAAUUAAAGAAAAUUUUCUAACUAAUUAAAUAUUUCAACUGUAUGUAUAACUAAUUAAAUCUCAAAAUUUUGUAAAUAAAAGCAAACAGUCUUGGACAAAAGGGAAAAGAGAAAGCAAAAUAAAAAAGAAUUGAAAAAAAUAAACAAUAAAGGGAUAUACUUGUCUUUUUAUUUGAAAUUAACUUGGUAAUUAACAUUAUUACUUUUCUAAAAAGGUAAAUAUAUUUUUGACGAAACCUUCAAAGAGAAAAGAAGUUUCUUUUCAAAUUAACGAAUAUAAGUGUAUUUUUUUCUAAACUAAUCCGAUUUUUAUAUUUUAGACAUAAUAUCUAAAAAAAUUUUAAAUAAGUCAAAGAUUGAUAACAGUUAAACUUCAAGUUUCAAAAUAUAACAUAAAAAAAUAAAAAGUGUUAGAAGGCAAGAGAAAAGUUAGGUAAAAUGUUUAAAAGGUUAAUCUUUUCAAAAGUGAAACACGCUAUGAGAGAGAAACAUUAGAAAAAUCAACAUGAAUUAAUUAGGUAAAGUCUUUUCACUCCUUUGUGUCAAACCUUAAUUUUAAUAAUAUUAUUUCCAAGGAAAGGAAGGUAGGCAAAUGCAAAGCGAAAAAGUUUUUUUCUGUUUAUGUGUAAGCCAUCAAUUUCAUUGCUGUGAAACAAUUAAUGUAGUAUAGUUAGCAAUUUUAAUAAAAAAGGACCACAUUGGCAUAAUGGCAUCGCCUUUACGUUGCACGUGGGACCUCCAAUUUGAUGGUGAAUCUUUAAUUUAAGACGGGUCAAUUUCACUUCAUAUUGACCUUGCCCUUCUUUUUCUUUUUCUUUCAAUAUUAAAUUGUGGGUCCCCACAAAAUUGACUCAUUUUACUGACUCGAGUGAGAAAACAGGAGAGAUAUGUGACAUCGCUGUCGACACGUGGGAAGAAAUUGACACGUGAACAUGCUGGGAAACCAGCAUUUGUGGGCCCCCACCGUUGUGGCCUAUUCUGGCCCACUUUGAUUUCCCAAGAUCCGAAUUAUUAGCACGUGAAUCAUUUCCACUCGGAUCCGGGUUCUGUCAUCUCAAAGGGUCACGCCCUCACCCGCUUGUUUGACUCUCUUUAUUUAGCAGGGCCUCUUGGGCUGACCAACUCCCAUCUUUCUUUGUUUAAGAAACAUCAAAUUAUUAAGCUAAGCAGUACAGACUUGUAACUUAUUUUUUCUUUUUAUGGGAGGUUUGAAUCUUCGAUUUUAUAGCCUGCUGGAAAUGGCGAGCCAAAGGGCAAAGACCCUUUUCUUUUUAUGUAACUUAUCAUUAUUCAGUAAACCUUUUUAUUGUUCCUUGUGCUGAUUGUUUCAUCAAUUUCAGCAUUAUAAAUAUAGGGUUCACUGAAUUAACGAAUUAUAGUAAUUAAUUUUAGAUUCAAGUUUUGUGGAUAGUCUCAUGUUGAUUAUGGUAAUUUCCAAGUGUAUAAUACAACUUAUUUUAACUCGCAAAAUUGAACGAUUUGUUUAUUAUUAGAUUUUUUUAUAAAUUAGAAAUCGAAUAUUAUAUUUUAAAAGGUAAAUUCUACUUAUAUUUUUUAUGAUUUUAACUUUUCUCAUUUUGUGAUUUUUUUUUAAUUAGCACCUUGUGAAUUUUUUUUUUUAAUUUGCACCAUAUGGUUCUAUUUCAGGAGAGUUAUAUUGUUAAUUUUAUCUUUAAAAAUACCAAAAUACUUUCAAUUUAAAUUUAAUUAAUUAAUUUAUAUUUAAUUUUUUAAAAAUUUUAUUUAAUAAAAUUAGUAACCUAACACUUGUGGAAACAAAAGUUAGCCACAAAAAUUGAGAAAAAAAAAUCCACAAUGUACUAAUUGGAGAAAAAAAAACUUUAAAGUGUCAUGUAAAAAAAUUAAAUCAUAAAAUAUAUAAGUAAACUUUACCUUUUUCUAAAUCUGACUUUUCCUAAAUCAAUAUGAGGAUAGACAAAACCAAACGCAUUUUAGUUCGAUAAAAUCAUGCAAGUAUCAACACUGAUGAAAUACCAACAUCCGAUCGGAAGGAUAGUUGAGUAAUAAUUCUUUUAAAUCUAAACUCGCCUUUGUAUAUCGUUUAGGUCCAAAGUCCAGUUUGAUUCAUGAUUAAAAUGUUUAAGUACUUAGUGUUUCAUUUCUUAGUGCAAGGCAUUCAUUUAAAAUUUUAAACAUAAUUGAUAGUGAUGUACUCGAGCAUUUAAUUCAAUUAUUAAUGUAUGAUUUUUAAAAUUUAAAUUCCUUAUUUUUCAAAUAAAAAAAAAGAAUUUAAAUACAGUUCAAACACCCAUUCAUGAUGUUAGCCAAGGCCUUAUAGUAGCUCACCAUUAAUAUUAGUUGGUAGCUAUGUGAUUUAUAAUUAAAGACACCAUAAUCAGAUACAGCAGAAGUAGUGUUUAGCGGAUUGUGGGUGAUGUGCUAGUGAGUCAGCGCACAGUGAAGGGAACGGGACAUUACAGUUUGCAGGGAGAGACAGAUCUCUCAUGUGAGUAGUCUUCCUCUCUUUGCCAUCUCUGGCUCUGGGGGGCUCUGUCUCAUUAUUUCGGUGAGGGGUCCCCGGUUCGCUUAAUUUCGUGCCCUUUACUAUUCGGUUUGUUUCAGAAAACCCACAUGCAUGAUGCAUCAGCUUCAGCUCCAGCUCCAGCUCCAUCUCUCUCUCUUUCUCUCUCUCAUGCUACAUUACAUUACAUUACAUCUUUUAAAUACCUAAGUAAACAUAGUAAAGGAAGAAUCAACCCCAUUGGGCAGUGGGCCCCCACUCAGUUGUUUCUUGAAAAACAUAAGCCAUUGCUUUCACGUGUGGUUGUCAUGCAUGCCUGCCAUUAAAAGUACUAACUCACACUUGCUUAAGCUUUUUCAAGUUUCCGUUGCUUCUAAAUCCACUGGUUAGACUCGCAUUUGAUAAAAUACAACAAAUUUCUACUUUGUUUAGCUUGCAAGAUGCAGUGCAUUAUUCUAAAUCCAUAUGCUUUUUCCGUUUAUAAGGCAAAUUAAAGCCAAGGGGUAUAUAUAUCCAGCUUACAAUUCUUUCUUAUUAGAAAGAUAUACUAGUAGAAAUAACACAGUGGAAAAAGUAGCUAUUCCUAUAUAUGGUUACUUUUGCAGAAGAUUUGCUAGAUUCAAUGGCCUACCCACCCAUCCCAUAUAUUGCCACAAAUGCCGGCAGCACUCAUCAUCUCCUGAGAAAAUAAAGGAAGUUUUGGUGGUUGGAUGAAAUUUGGGUCAUGUUUGGUCACAAGCAGCACUUAAAACCUGAAAAAGGUCUCUGAAGAAAUUCCCAGUUUAGAAAGUGUGAGGUACCAGCUGUGUGCCUCAGCCUUUGGCAACGACAUGAUUCCAGACACACACAAUACUCAAAGACGAAGUGCCAGCCUCUCAUAUGAGUUAUGUUCAUGCCAGAUCCUGGGUUUCAUAAAAGCUUAACAACAAUGUAAAAUCACUCCCCCUUCUGCAAUUCUUUAGUCCCUAAUGUUAUAUAAUACCUCUUGGUUAUAGUUCAAGCUUAGUCUUCAUACCCUUUCUAUUCAUAUUUCCAUAAUCAAAAACUUUGGUUUAGAUACGGAAAUGCAUUGCAUAAUUUGCACCUUUUCCCCAUUUGAUUAAUGUGCCUAUUUAUUAGAAAACCAGAAAAAUGUCAUUUUCUAUCAUAAAAUUCAACUUUAAUAAGGGCUAUAAAUGAGGAUAGCAAUUGAUAAACUGUUAUAAUAGAGACCUCUAAUAAUUUCGCCUUUUCCAUGUCUUUUUCAAACAUUAUUGUUAAGUUUUUUUCCUGCCUAAAUUAGAAUUUAUAUUUGAAAUAUAGAAUAACAUUCAAGUUUAAACUGAGUGAUAUUUCUAAGCGAAGGGUGCGGUUUAUAUAGUUUCUAGCUUCUAACAUUCUCAAAUUGGUAUAAUUAACAACAUUCCUCUAAGCCUAAUAUGCUUAACCACCAAAAUUAAAUUGCUAUGAUCCUAUCUGGCUACCUCAUCAUCCUAAUAGGGACCAAAUUCCCCGAUUUAAGGAUACUACAGAACAAGGGUAAAAAAUACAAAACAUCCUAGGAACAGAUUUCUCCUGAAGUAAAAUCUCAUUGAAAACAGCACCGAUAAAGCUGUAAUAAAGAAAAAAAAAAACGGAAAAGGAAAAGAUUUUCCCGAAAAUAGCCAAAUUACCCCAAAUUUACAGCAAGCUCUUAAUUAUUAUGACUCUGCCCUACUUAUGAUGGUUGAUGAUCAUCCCAAGCCGGGAUCUCAGCUGCCGCAUCCGGUACGGCAUGCCAAGCCGAAGCCGAAAUGAGAGGGCGGCUAUGCCAACCCAGAGUCAGACACCCUUCAUUUUCUUCGACCAAAUACCCUUCCGCCGAGAACAAAGUCAAUAACAUGCUAGCUUGUUUAAAUGCGUUGGACCCCAAAUGUAAUGGCCUAAAUCCGGCUCCAUUAAGCCGCGUCCUCCACUUAGCUAACGGCUCGUGUCUUUCUACUCGAGCCGAACCUUCACAGCUCACGACGUUGGCUAUUUCCCUCUGAAUGUAUAUCUCGGCUAAAGCUUUUUCCGGUUGAAGUGUGCAAGCUUCUAAAGAAUCGAACAUAGUCGAAUAAUAAUAAAGUGCUUCAGUGAACCGGUCCAGAAAACCGGGUUGGUUGUGGUUGGCUUCUUGUUCAACGACAGUCAUAAUUUUCGGGUUUAAGCUCCGGAUCCAACUCAAAACCGUUUGGAUAGAAGAAUUCCGUGUCGGGUCAGCUCCUAGUAAGCGGUGAAGCUGCAUGAUUGAGUUCACCGCCACCGCUUCUUUUGGAUUAACCUGAAGCAUCCACGGCUUAACGUCUUCGAGCCUGGAAGCCGCGACUCCACGGAAGGUGAAACGGACGUUGACGGAGCGAGCCAGCUCGGCAAGCCGUAAACCUAUUUCGCGAAGCGAGUCACGGCCGUCUGGUGAUGGCGGUCCAAUGCCGGUCAAACGAAGUAAAGGAGGUCCACCGGGACGUAACGCGAGGGCUUGUAUCAAAGCCGGCCAUUGUAAGCCGUGCAUCAAAUUGAAAUCCACCACGUGGACGCAAUCGUGACCGUCGAAAGCUUCCAGAAUAGCCUGAUUGGCGGUGAAGUGAGCGAAUUUCAAGUAAGGACACGCUUCGUAAAAAUGAUGAUACAAAAUCUCGUUCUCAUAAGCGGAGCCACCGUUGACAGGGCCUCCGCCAAAUCCUUGGAAAAUCCGGCAGCUCAAAGCGUCGAUAAAAUGUCCUGCAACUUUUCCGAUGCCACAAACGGUGUUGACACGCAUCAAUAACCGUUGCAUGUCGUCGAUUAAGGAAGUAGCCAAUGGGAGGUCGCCACGUUGGACGCACUCCGCACACAUCAUCAACAUGUGGACCAACCUUAUACCGGAAUCUUCUUCCAUGGCCGUUACAACCGUCAACUGAUGAUUCAAACUUUGUUGUUCGAAAGAAAUAUUCUGGUGCACCUGCGGCGUAUGAGGUUCGGUGGUAGUCCACGCGUUGUUUACCACCGCCUGAUUGGUUACAGGAUCCAUGAUGAAUUCGGAGGGGCAAGUAGGAGGCUGAGUGCACUCGGAAAGGAGCGAGUCGACCCAGGAGGCGAGAUCGGAAGGGUUACGGUGGAUAGCAUCUGAAGCGAGAUGAAAGAAAUCUGCGGGGGAAUUAACCAUGGCGAUUUCGAGUCGUUCCAGUCUCUGAGCUACUUGUCGUAACUCCGAUGACCGGACUUUGUAUCCAGCUCCGGCGAGUAGCCUAUCAAUAUCUUGCUGCUGCUGCUGUGGCGGCUUGUAGGAAGAUGAUGAUGAGCUGCCGCUGCUACUCCCCGCUGACGUGGCGGAGUCGUAUGGCACCAUGGUUCAAAUUCCUUUUCUUCUUUUUGUAAACAAGAAAUUAAAGUGCGGAAAUAAUCAAAUAAGAGGCAGAUUUGUCAUGCCCAGGUUUUGGCCAAAGAGUGAGAAUUAGCAGAGAAACGGAUGGGAAAAGAGAUGUAAAGAAAGGGAAGAGAUUUUUUCGUUGAGAGAAAAAGAGAGAUUAGAGGGGGAAUGACGAGUACUCCUGAGGAUGAGGUGUAUCCAUCUUUUGGACAACGAUUUUUGCUGUCACCCUCUCUUUUUUUUUUUUCUUUUUUCUCUUCUCUCUCUCUCUGACGUUCUAGUUUCAUUAACGUUAAAACUUAGUUAAACAAGUGGUAUCCAUUUUUUUAAUAAAAAUAAGAUUAUGAAAAGUUGAAGUGAAAGUGAUGUAGGAAUUAAUCAAGAAAAAAAAUUCAAAAUUGAACGGAGGAUAUUAUGUUUCAAGGUUAGAUUAAUUUAGGUUGCAAUUAAAGAAAACUUGGUCCGAUUUGAAAGAUUAUGAAAUGAUAAACACAGACAGGAAAUAACUAAUACUACUACUAGUAUGAUAGGGUCAAUGAAGAUGAUAUAUAUAUAUAUAUAUAUAUAUAUAUAUAUAUAUAUAUAAAAUAUAAUAUUAAAAGGAGGAUCGGUUUUUUUAUUGAAAAUGGCCUUUUAAUUAACAAUCAAAUUAAAAUUUAAACAAUAUAUUAAUCAAUAUACGGAGUCACUCGUUUGAUUGUUUUCAAGCUUACAGCGGGCACAUAUUAUUUUGGUUCUCCAGCAAGACUAAAGAUCUACUCAACUGGUUGGCCGCUGCUCUUUCUCAGAGAAUUAAGUCUCCCUCAUGGAGUCACUGUUUCUACCUACAAAAAUUCGAUGCAUGUUGUUAGGUAGCUCAGAUGUUUCAUUAUUAUUAUUAUUAUUAUUAUUAUUAUUAUUAUUAAUGAAUUUUUCAUUUAUAGAAAAAGAAAAUUAUAUAGAGGAGUAAAGGCAAAUAUUUGGCCGCGCGAGAGACGUGUCGCAAGAAGAAGACAUCAACAGGUGUCUUUGUUAAUGAAUUAUAUUAGUAAAUUCAUUAAUAAUAAGUAGUGAGAAAAUGAACAAAAAAUUCAGUCUAUGUCAGUGGGAGUAGCAUAGGAUUAAACUAGUAUAGUUUUCGGUAAUCCAGUUGCGUAAUUGAGACAGGGAAACCUUUGUUGUUUAUUCGAGAGAUAAUAUAUAUCUGCAACUUGGUUGUUUAGAAAAAUAAAAAAACAAGUGGAAGGGAAAACCCUAUUUUAAUUAAAGGCAAGUACAUUGAUCCCAUAUCUGCAGGCACCAACACAUUUAGCCUUGAGGGGACAUCCAUUUAAUAGUCCAAUGAGUCAAAAUAGAGCUAGAAUUAGGUCUGCUCCCAUUCCUAACGCCUUUUGAAAAUUGGUGGGAUUCGCUUAUUAAUUUUUGUGCUAUGCCGCACAUUGCUCUUUGACCGUUUACGGAAUCAAUGAAACUACAUCUUUAUUACAUCAAGGAAAAUAACCUUUCAUAAAUUUACUAUUACAAUCCAACAAUUACGAAGAUGAAUUAACUUUUUUUUUUUUUGUCAAGGCCAUGUAGUAUAGUCUUUUUUCAUUAUUAACAUUCACAAAAUUUAUUAUCAUGACAUCCUUGAAUUUGCCAAAAUAGACUUUUGUUUCAAUUAGUGAGUAAAAUUCCUCAGAUGAGAGUGUCAAAAUCUAGUAAUAAUUAUCAUAACGUAGAAUGAAUUGGGUAAAUGGUGCUACAUGCCUUGACACGAAAAAGUAACACAUUCUCUCUCAUCCCAUGUCUGAGGAAGUCAAAAAAGGUUGCAGAAGCAACAAUUUAUUAAUAUGUGCAAUUAUUCAGAUAUAGAGAGAGAGAGAGACGGGAGGGAAUUAGGUGUUCAAAUACUGAUCAUUGCGGUUUGAGUACAAAUGUACAUAAACAUAUUACAUUUAAAAAAGUUGUUUAUUUAAAAUCACUCAACCAUUUACAAGUCAUCCAAAGUACACAAACUUGUAAAGAAUCGUAUGAAGGGCUGAUGCGGUCCAUGAUAUUUAAAUAUAUAAAAUAGUAAAAUAGUAAGUCCGGGAGUCUGGGACCAUUUCAAAAGGGCCCAAAAAGCUCAAAUUGGGGGAUUAUUGGUUCCCACUAUAUAUUUUAAGAGGUUUUGAAGAAUUUUAAAAGCCCUUUGCAUGAGAACACCAGAAACUUAAACGAGAUCCAGUCCAGAGGGAAACACAAGAUUUUGCCUAUGUUAAAAAAAAAAAAAAUUGAUUGGAUCCACCAUCCAUAAAUUAAAACAAAAAAAAAAAAGAAAAAGAAAUAGCUGUUAUGUGGUCCAGUAGAUAACAUGGAAUUUGGGACCAGUUUGCUAAACCCGAAAAGCUCGAAUUUAAAGAGUUAAAAAUUGGAAAACAGAAAACAAGUGCUGUAACGUAUUCUGAAGGGAAAUAGGAUGUGGACGCAUGGGGAUUUUGCGGGCAUCAAAAAACACAAAAAUGAAAAAAAAAAAGGGGAUUUAUUUUUUUUUUUCCCUUUUUUCCUUUUAUGUUGGGGCUGGCUGGCUUUGAGGAAGUGCAAGGAAAGGGAAUUGGGACCAGCAUUUUCCUCAAGAGAACAUGUUGUGUUUAGAACAGACACCUAAAUUGUGUCCCAUUCCGUUCUUUUAGCUGACACCAUCACGUUAUGGCAUCUGUGAUUUUAUGGCAACAUGAUUCACGAAAGAGAGAGAAAGAGCUCAAACCUGUCUGUGGCUUUGCUCGCCCCACCAUCUUUCACAGUUUACAACAACCCCCAAAUCCAAUUACCAACCUUCUUACUGAUUCCGCAAUCUUUUCAAUUCAUGAUUUUCUUUGGAUUUCGUAAUACCAUGAAUUCCAUUUCCAUACAAGCAUAAACAUUGGAGGGAUUGAAUGUCUUUCUUUUAAUUGAAUGAGUACAAAUGCUUAAGACCAAAUAAAUUAGUAGUGUUAAAUGAUAAUGAGACGAAAUUCUCAACAUAAAUAAUCUUAUCAGAUAAGGUUAUGCUAUUACAUUAAUUUAUCAACAUCUUAAAUUGCAUUGGAUAGCGAGAAGGAGAAUUUUAAUCCUAUAAUUAGCAAAUUGAUGGGAGGGGAGAGAACAAAGCUGGAGUUUUGUUUACUUAGAUGCAGCCCUCAAUCUAUUUACAGUGGGCCGCAUUACGUUUAGCUGACCCUAUUUUUGUCUUGUGCUAUUAACAAUAUUUUAGAUCUCAAUCCUGAGCGGCAAACAAUUAAAAAGGGCUGUGUGAUUCAAGUUGUUUAAUAUAUUGUUUGGUAAGAUGAGAAUUACAUUGGAUAUAUACAAUAGCCUUGGAAAUGCCUUAAGUUAUUUCAUCCAUAUCAAUUGUCAGUACACGAUCCGGACUCUCAGACCAAACACGAGUCUAUUUGCACUUUGAAAUGUCUUCUUUCCAUUUUUACACAGUGCCCACCAACUAUCGCCCAUUUGCAACUUGACCCACACCGUCGAGAUUUUGAGGCCCAUUAGGGAGGCUUGAGAUCCCGUAAUUUUGCUGUUUAGCUGAACUCCAAAUUUGUACAAGAAAAGUUUCCUUGGAUAAGGAACUUCACCGCUAACAAGUCAUGAUCAAACUCUUACAAAACCAAUGCUAUUAUAUUCAUAUAAAACCCCCAAAAAAGAAGACAACAGUACAAUCUGAGAGCAUCCUCUUUGAUGCUCUCAAUCCAGCAGCCGUUUGGUAGAGUCUCAUGUUAGAUCAUGCGAGGGAAAGGCCUGAGGAGAAUGUGAUUCCAGCCAGGUUGGAGCCCUUCAUCUUGCAAUCAGGCAAUGGGACCAAAGUCCAUACACCCCUCUCUUUUUCAUAAGUCAGCCAAACAAUGUCCCAUAAACCCUCAAAAUUAGACAUCAAAACCACCCUAAUUAUCCCACCUCUUGCCUCUAAGCACCCUAUCAUAACUCCAUAGGGCUUCCCAAGUUGCUUCAUUAUGUCACUUGGAACGUUUGAAGUAUACUCCCAAUUCCCACUGUUUAGGCUUAUGCCCCACAUUUCCAUGCUACUUAACAUCUUCACCCUCCUAUCCGUGUUGUUGUCGAUGCCCCUCGAUCUCAUGAUCAUCAUGUGUCCAUCACCAUACACGUGUUUCCGAUCACUGAUGUUCACCCAGCUGAAUACAGUAGAUGGUUGCUGCCCUGCAUUUCUUAAUCGUGGCCGUAGAAUCAUUGGGGAGUUGUAGUAUUCAGAUCCAACGGCCACCACUAGGCUUUCAUAAGGUCCAUUAAGAGCAUUGAGAAACAUACAAUCGGUCCCUAGAAAGUUCCCGUAAAUCUCUCUUGCCUCGGUGGACUGCCACUCGUUAGUCUCUGAAUUGUACUCAAACAGAACCGGACGGUUCUCCAACAACUCAACAAACACAAAGCGAAAAUGGCCCGAACCGGAGGGUUCGGGUACUAACUUCAUCCCUGAUCUUCUCCAGGAAGAAGUGCCACGUGGACCCAAUGGACAUGGAGGGAUCUUUUUAACUGCCUUACUAACCAAAUUAACGGCAAUAACUGCCUUUUGGGUAUUGGAAGCAAACAAAAAAAUAUUGCCACUCGCUGUCAAUAAGUAAAUAUCUUCACCCGGAUAAAAAAUCACUUGCUUCAUCAAAUCAUCAAUGGAAAUCUUGAACCAACGGUUGGAUUGAUCGGAGAAACCAUGAAUCGUCGCGUCACGGCGCCACCGUUUCUUGUAGACAAACAACCAAGUGGCUGACCUUGAUCGCAGGUUGCACUCCCGGAUGAAAUUUUGGUCGGAUAUAACAUAAGCAAGAAACUUGUUGACUAAUUUCAUGCGAAUGAUUUCGGGCAAAGCAAGGGAGAAGAGGAUGUUUUGUAUGAGCUCCGAAGGAAGAUGGCAGAAACCGAGGGAGUUGGUGUCGGAAUUUUGACAUUCAUCCAUGUCUUUUAGCGCAAUAAUUUGAUGUUCAAGUGUAUAAUUAUAUAUACAGCGAGGGUACUUUCAAGCAUGUAAGUAGUACGCAUUAAAAGAAAAAAAAGGACAAAUCGUCCAGCAAGGCUUCCCAUGCGGAUAACGUCAUGGUCGGGGAAACGGACGGUGGGGAUGGUGGAAAAACUUGAAUAAUUUUUUAGUCAAGUCGACGCAUUUGAUUGUCUUUGAGUGUAUAAAAAAUGACAAGAAAGUAUUCAACUUUUUUUUUUUUUGAAAAGCAAGAAAGUAUUCAGCUAAGCUCAUGGUGGGGAGGUAAUUAUACAUGAGUCAAGCCGGAUAGCACUUAAUGGCUUAGUUAUUUGAGAGGGGUGAGUCACGCUGCCUGUGUGAUGAAAGGGAGGCCUCCAUGGCUGAUGCAUACCUUUUUAUUCGGUUUGAUUGUCCACUCUUAGACUUUGGUGUGUUAAACCAAUUUUUUCUCACAGGGAAAAUCACAUCAUCAUUCACGUUGAUAGAAAAUGUUAGUUAAUCAAUGAUUAUUAAUACCGUGUAGUAUAAUUGUUAUUUUUACGUUAAUCUAAGAAUAUAUUUGAACAUAAAUUACAAAAUAGAAAAAUUUUUGAAUAUAAUGAAAAAAACUUAUUUAAGAAAAAGGAAAAGUUUCAUAGAUUUAUUAAAUAUUUAAACCUUUUUAAAAUAAAGAAAGAGAGUAUAAGUUCUUGUAACGGAAAUAACGAACUACAGAGAAAGAGAUGGAUGCUAAAUAAACGACAAGAGCAUUAACGACUGGGUUUUUUUUCGGCUACUAGACAUGUCCCUUAUUGAUGCUUACAACAGACGUGAAUAUGUUCCAUGUUGAGUCAUACCUUGGUUGGAUAAGGCUUUCAUGUUAUUCUGGCCGGUGAGGUGCAAUUUGAGGGUGAUGGUUAAUCUGUUUCUUUCUAGCACCUGUUUGGGGUGUGCUCUUUUGGGCUUUGCCAAGUGAGUAGACGUUUGCAUAAAGAAGUUUUGGGAAUGCAGAUUAGACGGGUGAAGCCAGAUGCAAUUAGUUGUACUAUGGCUUUUUUGGUCGCAAGCAGUUAUGCUUGACUGCUGGAUGCAGAUACUUCACACUUCAAUUCUACGUCCAAUAGAGCCGCACCCAUGGCAUUCACAAUCACACACUAGGGCGGAAGAGUUGCAAUUGAGCAUGCUGAUGUCACGCAAGAGCAGUUCUGUUUGCAGACAAUGGAAAGAGGCUUCGUAGAAGAUAAAACAAAAGCGAAGAGAAAGAAAGAAAGAAGUGGAUGAAAUGACAGUCAAUGAAAGCAAGCCAGUUUGUUAACCGUUUCUUGACUAGAAGCAAGAACACUGAGGAUAAAGGAGACCAGGCUUUGCCCAGUUAACCCUCACGGUUAAAAGUUAGACAUUGGUUUUGGGCUGAUAAGUACUAGGCUAUGUUCUUUAAGAAACAAUGGAAAAAUAGCUAUGGAAGUGGAGUAGUUAGAACAUGAUUGUUGCAAAAUUAUAAACAAGUGUGUCCUAGAGCGCAAAUAUUAUCUACUUUUACGGGUUUUCGACAUAGGGAUUACCGCAACCAGGCUUCCUUCCGGUGUCGACCGGUAUCUCAUAGACACGGAAUCCAGCCAAAUAAAUUUCACCAAUUUCAUAACUUAUUGCAAGGCAAGCAAGUUUUAAUUCUUUAUUUUUAAAAUCUCACGAGAGACUUGCUCAUCACAACAAACAACAAAUGAAUAAGGACCCAAGUCUGAUGCCAUAACCAUCCAUGAAAGGAUUCUUGAUCAGAUAAAAUUUGCGAAUUUUCAUCCAUCUGCAGAAUGCCCAUUUACCACAAAGGAACAAAAUAAAAUUGAAUAACAUUUGAAUGCAAGCUAUAAAACUAGACAUAUAGGAAGAGCAUCAAAUCAAGGUUCUCUCAUGUAUGGUAAGAAAGCACCAAAUAACAAUCAAAUUCAUCUGAGUGUCUGAGUUGAGAGCUUAAAGAAAUUACGAGAAAGGCAAGAAGCAAUUAGGACAGGGAUAAACUAAAAGAAAUUGGCCACUGAUCCAGUCUAUCAUGUGCAUGACAGUGAACUAGUAAGUUCCCAAGACCAAUGCCAAAAUGGUAGAAACCAUAUUAAGGAACAAAAUAACAAAAUAGUUCAGCAGCAGUUGAUCUUAGAGAUGAAUUGAUGGCAUUUAUUGCAAUAUGCUGAUCAGAAAAUCAGUUAAUCGCACAAAGACUCAGUGCCUUCUUCACUAGCACCCACCAAUGAAGCUUACCUCAAUUUGAGUUACAAGACACAUCAUAAGUCCAGUGUUCAAGCUAUGACAUAAGGUUUGUAGUGUACUUUCUUUUCUCCUUUUUUCUCCAGGAGAUACUACAUUGGUAUUAAGAAUCAGAAUGCUACUAAUUCAGAAAAGUCCUUGAAACUAAUCUGGGACACUAUAACUGGUAGCAACAUCAAUAUCUAAACCAAGGUCACCAGACUAUCUGUGAGAAAAGAAAAGGAAAGAGAAAACAACAAAAUACAUAUUCCUCAAUUCUGAUGAGCCAAAUACCAUAUAUAGCAAAACUGCAACUACUAAUACAUGAAGCAACAAAGAAUGCCAACAUAUUGUCAAUAAUGAGCCAAAAGCACAAUGGUUUAUAAAUUACCAAAUAGCUAAGGGCUUACCAUGUUUAAAUUCUAAAAUAUGGGAUUGUGAGAUCUAACACAGAAAAGGUCCUUCCAAAAUUACGGAUACUAGAGAUUCAUACAUCCCAACAGUCUUCUUCAGAGGCUAAAACCAUGAAAAGUAAAAAAUAAAAAUUAUCAUAUAGAAGCAUGUUUACCCAACAUACUCUUUCCUUGAUUCUCUUCAACAUCAUCAUUCUCAUUCUCAUCAUUUGUCUGCUUGGGUGUGGUUAACUCACGUGGUGGUCCAGUAACUGACUGCUGAUAAAGAACCCCUCCUGCCAGUGUGAAAAGGAGGCAAACCAAACCAAAAGGAGUAGCGUGCUUAUCCCAAAUCAACACAUUGAUCACAACUGUAAGAAACUUAUUAACCACACCAGUCACGGUAAAUGCUGUGGCAGAGAUAGCCCUCCUAGCCGCAAAACCAAAGAAACUGAUGAGCAAACCAAACAAGCAUGACAAAGAUACUGCAGUAAACGCCACAGGUUCAAACCAAUUCCCAGCAUUGGCUCCCAAAGCAGCGAACACCUCUGUGUAUUCUCCAGUCAAAACCCAAAAUAUGGGUGCCAUCAUCAAUGAUAACAAGUUGUUGUACAAUACAAAACCCCAAGUGUUCAACCCAAGAUUCAUCACCAUAUGCUUAAUAUAAACCAUCUCAGUAGUAAUUGUCACCAAAUAUGCAAACGCCCACGAAUACGCAGUUAAAGUAAAGUCCGAAUCAGUAGCCACAUACCCAACAGCACCACCCAGAAUGAUCAACAGAGACAUAAAUGUUAGCUUUGACGGGCAUGGUUGCCUCCUAAAGGCUGUAUCGGCUAUGGCAACCAAAAGGGGUGUCAAGGAUCUAAACACUAUAAAAGUAUCCACAUUUGCGUGACGCAAAAGAUUGGUGUUUGUGAAGAUUGCAAGGUAAAAGACAAUAGCAGCAGGCAAAAACUUCUUGGCAAUAUCCAAUGUGAAAGGAUCAUGAUGUAAAAACCCAAACUUGCCUAAAACCCAGACCCCAAGAGCCGAAGUUAAGUACUGUAAUGAAGUUAAUAAACCAGGGUAGUUGAAUUUAGUUAUUGCAAAUUUGUUGAUGACAGCAAGUAAGCUUGAACAAAGUGCAUAACCAAUGACCAAACUGCUUGUAGCAUAGUAUUGUCUAGUGGAAUCAAAUCUAAUUGCUGACAUUUUUUUUCCUUUUGGAAGAGGGUUCUGAUUUUAUGUAAAUAACAAAUACCCAGAAGUUAAAAUCAGUAGAUCUUAAAAUAUUAUGGCAAUGGCAGAUGCAUUUGUGGAAAUUAUAACAGGAUAUGAGCUAGAAAAGGACUUCAUAGGAAGAAAUGGGAUGUGGGUAUUUAAGACUUCUAUUGAUCUAACAAUUAAAUGAAAGGAAAAGCAGAUUUAAUUAAAGUAUAAUAAAGAAAAUAAAACAGAUACAACGGAAGGAGAGAAGUCACCGACAGGAAACAGGAACAGGGAGAUCUUGGAGUGUUGAAAGAGGAUUGUCGUGGAAGCAGAAAUCGAAAUGAAUGGUUGCGAAAACGCGAGGGCAAGGUUCAUCAAGAGAUGCAGGAUGACUGGUUGGAUAGAGACCGUAGGGAGAUGUACUAUAAAGAAAAAUCUGCGUGUUUGAUUUGGUAAUACAGGUAACAGGGACAGCGAGGGAGCCAGAGCCACUUUUUCCCAAAGCUAUACGUUUGCAAUUAAAAUCAAAGGGGAGGACGAGUUCAGACUUCUGAUUGCUUUGAAUGGCUAAACGACAGCGUCUAGGAAGGACAAGGAUAGUGAAAAUAGUAGUGGUAGGAAUCUUUUCUCAUUUUAUCUAGAUAUACUUGCACAUUAAUUAAGACGAUAAGAUAAUAUUUUGUAUAUUACUACUAUUUUUUUUCUUUAAAGUAAGGAUAAAAGUGAUAAAUUCUUUAAAAAAUAGUGUUCAAGAUAAAUAAAAGUUUGUAAAGGAACAUUUUAAUUAUUAAAACUUGUUCUUAGAUAAUUUUAAUGAUUAAUAUUUGAGAUUGUAAUUAAAUAUUAGAAAAAAUAAAAUUUAUUAUCUUUUUGAAAAGCCAAAAGAAAAUAUUUAUAAAAUGAGAAAAACAAAUGAAUGAAAAAUUUUAUAUUUUAUUUAAUAGUUUAUCGAAACUGUCUAGUUUGAAAAAGGGAAAUUUCAAUUUAAUCAAUUGGGAUAGAGAUACGUAUUUCUAUCCUUAAGUAAAUUAAUAGGCAAAGUCAAAAGUGAUGUAUGAGUGAUUCAAACAUUACUUUUACUUUUGCAGUCCAACAUUAAUGAUAGUUUGAUCAAAAUGCUGGUCCACGUUUUUACAGGGAUUUGCAUUUAGUUGGCCCAACAACAGGCCAAUUAGGCUUAAAGACCACUUAUAAGUAAUAAUUAAGCUUAGAGGAGAACACAUACUGCUAUACCUCAGACAUAUUAACAAGAGUUCAUAAUCUUAAACCAAGUUUACUGUCGUCAAGUAAAUUUUAGAUUGGGCUACUGGUAUCAUGAAUUGAAGAGUCUUCCUCUAGUGUACUUUUGAGAGCCCGAGCCCAUAAAUCUGUUACAAUAUAAAUACUUUGCUUAUUUGAUUCCAAAUGGGCAAGGCUCUGAUGAUCACUCAACGGCAGCUUCAGGUAUUUCACUUCAUUUCCCGCCAUUACUUUCUAUCAAAGCCGCGCCUUUUCUCGUUUCACUCUCGUUCCCCUCCGCUAACCAAACAAUCAUGCAUCUUUCUUCUCAAAAACUGCAAAUCCAUGAACCAUCUUAAGCAAAUCCAAGCCCAAACCUUCCUACUUGGUCUCCACCAAGACGGCCACACUCUCAACAAACUCAUAGCUUUUUGUACGGACUCAUAUCUUGGAAACUUCCGACACGCUGAAAAAGUCUUCAGUCUCAUCCAAAAUCCAUCUUUGUUUAUAUACAAUGUGAUGAUCAAGACGUUUGUAAAAAAGGGUAGUUAUAAAAAUGCCAUCUUGGUCUUUGGGAAGCUGAGGGAACAAGGGUUGUGGCCUGAUAAUUUUACCUAUCCUUUUGUUUGUAAGGCAAUUGGAAGCUUGGGUGAGGUUUUUGAAGGUGAAAAGAUUCAUGGAUUGGUGGCAAAAUCGGGGCUUGAAUUUGAUGCUUAUGUGAUUAACUCACUUAUGGAUAUGUAUGUUCAAUUAGGCCGGAUUGCGUAUUCGAAGAAAAUAUUUGAUAAAAUGCCUGAGAGAGAUGUGGUUACCUGGAACGUGUUGAUUUCUGCUUUGGUUAGGUGUGGGAUAUUUGAAGAUGCUGUCAAUGUUUUUGGGUUGAUGAUAAAAGAGGGCCUGGUUAAGCCUAAUGAGGCUACAAUUGUUAGCACUCUUUCGGCUUGUACAGCAUUGAGAAGAUUGGAACUUGGCAAUGAAAUUGACCGUUAUGUAAGGAAGGAACUUGAAUUGACUACUAUUAUGGGGAAUGCGUUGUUAGAUAUGUAUUGUAAGUGUGGUUGUCUGGAUAUAGCCAGGAAAGUUUUUGAUGAGAUGCCGAUUAAGAAUGUUAAUUGCUGGACUAGUAUGGUGUCUGGCUAUGUAAACUGUGGUCUGCUGGAUGAAGCUAGAGAGUUGUUUGACAGAAGUCCAGUUAGGGAUGUUGUUCUUUGGACAGCUAUGAUUAAUGGUUACGUUCAGUUCAACCGUUUUGAUGAGUCAAUGGAACUGUUUAAAGAAAUGCAGAUUCAAAGGGUUAAACCAGAUAAGUUCGUUGUGGUUUCUCUCCUAACAGGUUGUGCUCAGAUGGGAGCUCUUGAGCAAGGUAAAUGGAUUCAUGGAUGUCUCAAUGAAAAUAGAAUUGUUGUAGACACCAUUGUUGGGACUGCUCUUAUAGAAAUGCAUGCAAAAUGUGGAUGUGUAGAGGAAGCUUUGGAGAUUUUCUAUGGGUUGAGUAAAAAGGAUACUGCCUCUUGGACUUCAGUUAUAUGUGGGCUCGCGGUUAAUGGGGAGGCAAGCAAGGCACUUGAGUUAUUCUCACAAAUGAAACAAACCAAAGAAAAACCUGAUGAUAUCACCUUUAUUGGUGUUUUAAGUGCUUGUAAUCAUGGAGGAUUGGUUGAGGAAGGCUGUCAGCAUUUUGAUUCCAUGUCUAAAGUGUAUCAGAUUGAGCCAAAAUUGGAACAUUAUGCUUGUCUGAUUGACCUACUUGGCCGCGCUGGACGGUUAGCUGAAGUAGAGAAGUUGAUAGACGACAUACCAAGUCAAGAUAAUGAACUUGUUGUGCCACUUUAUGGUUCAUUGCUUAGUGCUUGCAGGACCUAUGGCAAUGUUGAGAUGGGAGAACGGGUGGCUCAACGGCUAGUAGAAAUUAAAUCAAGUGAUUCCAGUAUUCAUACACUUCUGGCCAAUAUCUAUGCCUCCGCUGAUAGAUGGGGAGAUGUAAUAAAGGUUAGAGCAAAGAUGAAAGAUCUUGGAGUCAAAAAGGUGCCUGGCUGUAGCUCAAUUGAUGUGAAUGGUGUUAACCAUGGUGCAAUAACUUGACAAAUAAAGCAGUCUUUUGAGGAUAUAUUGUCACAAUCGGGGAUUGCAUUAAAAUUUGGGAAUUUUGGAAAUGGCACAAAGUUGUAUGUUGCUUAGCUAGUGAAGAAGCAUGCUGGAAUUCCGAAAAUAUUUGCAAAUAGGGAUAUAAAGUUGCUUUUACAUCAAAAUUUUUAUGAAGAGGCAAUUGGACUGCUGGUCGGGUAUCUUGUUCAAGCAGGUUCUUGAAACAGUUACUGAGGAAGCUUCAAAAUUUCUGUCAAAGAGUGCAGUUAAAUUUUUUCUAAGAGUAGUCUGUGGAGGCACCCACAUCAUUCAACAACUUCAUUAGGUUGGAACCAACAGAAUCAUUUCAUGCAACACAUUGAAAUUUCAUAUCAAAUUCAGAAAUUAGGAGAUUAUAGGUUAUCAACCCAAUAUUACAAAGAUUAUGAGUCUACAAUUGUCAAUUAACUCUGUGCAGACAAUAACAUCUUGUUCAUCAUUAAUAAGAAUUUCUCAUAUCCCCUUUACCUCAAUGUAUUCAAAUUUCCCCCUUCUCAUUCAAUUUAUUUCUUAGAUGGAAAAGUUUGGAAAACUGGGUUUCCAGCAUGUUCAAUCCAUAUACUCCCCUACUCUGUUGAGUAUUAACUGAAAUCUGAAAACUAUUGUCUAACACCAGUAGAUCCAUUUUGGAGUAGUAUUAGCAUGCACAUCUGCAUUGAAAACAAAUUUUUGUUAAGAUUUUUUUGCAAAUUUCAUAAAAAAUUCAUGUCAUAUUUUAAUGUUUGGUUAUGAAUAUCUUUUCAGGGUUAUAUUCAUUAUAUUGCUAAUACUCAUGGAUCUCUUAACAACUGCUGGUCCUUCCUAGCAGGUGUCUUUCUCCUUUCUGUUAAUAUAUAUUUGAAGAUAUGUUUUCUAGAAUCCUCCUAACAUAUUUGUAAUUUCUUUAAUUUGUACUGUAGUCUUUCAAAUUAAUUCUAUGAAACUGAUAAUAGCUAUCAGACAAUUGGAUACAUAGCCCACCUUUCAUGUUUAUUUUUGAAAAAAAUAAAAACUGCAUUCCCAAGGUCUUAGACAUUCGUAGUUUGUCUUGUUUCAUGAUUUCAAGGUUGAUGCCCUAUUAACAUGGGAAAUUAAUCACAAGGAAACAACUUUUGCCAGCAUGGCUGGCUAGCUAGGAUCGAGUCUGCACACAAUAAGGUGUGCAAUAUAAUAACACUUCCACCGUGCAACAAUAUAUAAUAAGCUCUAUUUGAAGUGGUUAUUACUUGAAUAUUAUCUUUGGCUUUAGUAAAACUUAAUAGUAUUGAUUGGACCUUUUGGGCCUCUUCAAAUUUGUAAUUAAUUUGCUUUGGUGACUGACUUUACUGAUAUGCAUACCAUAACAGCAGCAGACAAGAAAACAUUCUCUUUAAGAACUGGCCGGGUUGUGCUGAAGAACAAAACUCGCUUCAUAUUCUAUCAAACACAAACUGCAAUAAUAUUAUUUAAUUUCCUCCACGACUACAUAAGCAAAGCUAGUUUAGUAGUUAAUAAUAUAAUGAUGACCGUCUAUCAUUAUCAUAGACAUAUAACAUGAUUAGUUUAUAAAUGUCAGUGGUUGAUAGAGUACCAACGUAGAUGACAUAAAAUACAUCUCACGUUUUCCUUAAAUAUCUUCUAAAAUGAUCCUUAUAAACCCAUCUUCUUAAGGUGCUUUAAAUCUGCACAUGGGGUCCGCUCAUGCAUAUACUGAUAGACAUUACUCCAUACAGUAGAACUGCAAAAAUGUUGGUUAAAAACUCCCAUGAUUAGGGUUUUGAUGCUUCGAAGAAUGAAUAACAUAACGACUAGCUAAUUAUCUAUUCAUGCAGCCGGAGCAUAAUCAUAGCUGCCAUCAUCAUCAUCAUCAUCAUCAUCAUCACCCUCGAGGGAUGCUGCAGGGGUGCAGUCAUAGUCUCCGUCAUCAUCAUCACCAUUCCCUUCUAUGCAUGCUGCUGGAGCGUAGUCGUAUCCAUCAUUGCCAUCAUCAUCUCCAUCUGGAUGCUUCUUGUACCACGAGGCAACAAUAACCUUGGAGAGAAGAGACAUUUUCUUUCUACUGCUUCUGGACCAAAGGUGGAGUAAGAAUUAAAAACGGGGACUGGAACUUUGGUUAAUUGAUUUAUUUCUAUGGUCGUUGACCUGUAGAAUAAGAUAAUGAGUAGAGCUGAUGUAACUGUGGCUUGUUUUGGGAUUAAAUUAGUGACUCCGUAACGUAUGUUUUUGAAGGGAUGCCAGAAGUGAUUACAUAGAAGGUGAUCUUGGUCAAGAUGGUGGAUAGCUCGUUCUGCCACAAGGCAAGCACGUGAAGAGUGUGGAAUGAAGACCAAAGGUUGUGCUAUCUUGUGCACGACCCAACGCCGAGCAUAGGUGGCGAUACGUGGUCCAGCCACAUAAGCUGACAAUGCGGCAAAUUCUCCUGCGUUAGUACUAUUGUUGAUGGCCUUUGAUGUAUAGUAGAGGCAUCUUGGGGUCAAGUGUGAGAUCUUUUGGCAGGGUGGUGGGCUAGUGGGAAAAGUGAGGCUCAUUAUCUUCUUCAUGUGGUUUGGAACCAGCCAAAGAGUGGUGCCAUCAUCAUGGCAACACCCUGGUAUCCAUCGGAAUCUCAUUUUUCUCAACAUUUUAAAUUAGGACGAUCGAAAUUGUCUCCACUGAAGCAAGAUUUUAGUAGUAGCAGCAAGCUAGGCUACAAGGAUCGGGUCAGUGUUGGAAACAAAUAUCACGUGUGUUAUGGG